This 58747-nucleotide long non-coding RNA is filed under the name Nicotiana tabacum (common tobacco). RNAcentral's name for it is "long non-coding RNA (NTAB_LNC012744)". The record is from RNAcentral. Lineage: Eukaryota; Viridiplantae; Streptophyta; Magnoliopsida; Solanales; Solanaceae.
AAAAUAUCAACUUGUUUGUGGUUGUUUUCCCUCUCCUUUAUCCCCUAAGAACUUUGUUUCUUCACUUGCACUCUCUCUUAGUCUUAAGUUAUGCCCCCUUCUCGUGAGCCUUGCCUUGGGACCCAUUGUGCUCCCUAUGAACUUGGACACUUGAGGGUUGGCCCUUCUACACUGCACUUGUCCUAUUCUGGUGAUACAAUUUGGAUGUGAGCACUGCCCGGAGUCCCAUUGAGGUUCUUAGGGAACUUUGACACACUCAAAUUGGAGAAAGGCUUUGGAUCAAUGGUCUUUGAGUUGGUUUAUCUCAUAACUCAGUGAGGAAGUCAGAAUCAGGCUUCCUUUAGUUGUACUUUAUUUGUAUUUUCUGAUGUAAUUUACUAUUCCGAUUUGUAAUAAGUUGUAAUAAACAUUUGGGGCUGGCUAGUGAAAAAGGGUGGGUAACUAUGCAUGCAAAGGGUAGAAAUCAUGCCUAUAGGACUGUUCUAAAUUCUGUAUCUUCAACUUCACCUAGAAAACAUGCCUAUAGGGUUUGUUCUAAUUCUGCAUAUUCUAUUACACAUAGAAACCAUGCCUAUAAGGUUUGUUCUGAAUUCUGCAUGUUCAGUUACAUAUAGAAACCAUGCCUAUAGGUUGUUCUAAUUAUGCAUAUUCAAUUACAAGUAGAAAUCAUGCCCAUAAGGUUUAAAACAAAGUUUCGCAUUUAGAUACCAUGUCUAUAAGGCUUAAACAAGUUCUGUACCAUGUCUAAAAUCAGCAAUACAUAGAAAACAUGCCUAUAGGGAUCCUCGAGCAAUUCUGAUUUGUUUUCAUUCACAGUCACGUUAGAUAUAAAAUCAGUAAUAGUAGAACUCAUAAUCAAUUUGUUUGAUUUUGUACAUUCUGCAUCUCCUUUAGUAAUCUGAGUCCCUCACUGAACAAGUAUGCAUAUAGGACUUCAAAUAAUUCAUUUCGAGUCUUACUAUCUUAUCACCUUCUGAAUUCAGUAGAUACCAUGCCUAUAAGAUCCUCAUCUAAACACUUAGGCAAGCCUUAGAGUAAUAACUAUAAAUGGAAUUUGUUUCUGUUAAUCAGUACAACCAGCAGGCAGGCCUGAUUCGGGCUUCUUAUCUGAGUUAUGUAAUAAACUAAAACUGCUUCAGCAACCUCCUCUCCCUCGUCUUUAAUACUUUUAAAUCAGACCUAAACAGUAUAUGCAAGACAUGCUAAUUAUAUGCUUUUAAGGAGGCAUACCUGAGCCAUCUGUUUAUUUAUAUGCUUUCCCCAAAAUGUGCAAUAUGUGUUUUUGUAUGUUGCUUUUGAGUUUUACCAUUGAAACUCCAAAUAAGCCCAACAUCCCUCCCUUUUAGGAUUAGUAGUCCUAAAUGCCUCCGGGACUGAUAGGAGUGGCAUGGGUAAUAGCAUGCAAUAAGUAAUCGAGACCAUUCCGCACUUUAAAUACCUUAACGGAGUAGGAAGGGUAGAUAUGGAUAUGAUGACCACACGGUAAUGUCACGUGUAACCCCUCAUUGAGGAGUGAUUACCGGACAUUGUGUGGGGUGAUCCAUAUUUUUAAUAAACCUAGGACCCUCCUCCAUUUAUUCUUUAUUUAUUUCUUUUAGCAUUUCAACUCCUUUUAAAAUAUGUUUUUCUAACCGUUCUUUCAAAUUUUGGUUUACUUUCAAACUAUAUGUGAAUCCUCUCUUAUNNNNNNNNNNNNNNNNNNNNNNNNNNNNNNNNNNNNNNNNNNNNNNNNNNNNNNNNNNNNNNNNNNNNNNNNNNNNNNNNNNNNNNNNNNNNNNNNNNNNNNNNNNNNNNNNNNNNNNNNNNNNNNNNNNNNNNNNNNNNNNNNNNNNNNNNNNNNNNNNNNNNNNNNNNNNNNNNNNNNNNNNNNNNNNNNNNNNNNNNNNNNNNNNNNNNNNNNNNNNNNNNNNNNNNNNNNNNNNNNNNNNNNNNNNNNNNNNNNNNNNNNNNNNNNNNNNNNNNNNNNNNNNNNNNNNNNNNNNNNNNNNNNNNNNNNNNNNNNNNNNNNNNNNNNNNNNNNNNNNNNNNNNNNNNNNNNNNNNNNNNNNNNNNNNNNNNNNNNNNNNNNNNNNNNNNNNNNNNNGCACCAUAAUCAUUAGGUGGCGACUCUUCAAAUUCAAACCUAAUUCCCAAAGGAAUGAGUUGUCCUCCCAAAUGUCAUAAACCCGAUUUCGCGAAAAAAAGGGGGCGGGACACCCACCGGAACUAUCUGGGCCGGAACCUCAUCAUCAAAGUCAACCUGAGGCUCUAUCGCUGGUGCUGCUGCUCUGGGAUGAGCUCUGCCCCUACCUCGGCCUCUAGCAAUGCCUCACCCUCUGCCUCUCGUGGGAGCUACUACUGGGGGCUCGGGCUGCUGAUCGGUGGAUGAGGAAGCGCGUGUUCUCGCCAUCUACGAAAUAAUAGAGUAGAAAUUCAAUUAGCAUUGAGAAACCAAACCGCAUGACAGGAAGGAAUAAAUGUGAAGUUUCUCCUAACUCUGUAGACUCUAGGGGAUAAAUACAGACGUCUCUGUACCGAUCCCUCAGACUUUACUAUGCUUGUUUGUAAACUGUGAGACCCAUGUAACCUAGAGCUCUAAUACCAACUUGUCAGGACCCGGAUUUCCCGCCCUCGGGAUGGCGCCUACUAAUGCGAGCUAGGAAAGCCGACGGUUUGAACAAUUACCUUUUUACCCAUUUUAUAUCCUUUAACAAUUAUGAAGCAAUAACGUGUAGAUAGCGGAAUUUAUAAUACGCUGAAGAAAACAACAACGAUCUGAAUAUGUAUCCAAUACAACUGUUUAAGCAAGACUACCCAAAACUAGAGUCACAGCUUCACAGACGGUCUAAGAAUACUGCAUAUAAAGUCUGAAAGAUAAAUGAUAUACUGUCUCUGAAAUAAGUAAAGGAAACAGGAUAAAGGGAUAGAGGAAGACACCAGGGCCUGCGGACGUCUGCAGGACUACCUUGGAUCUCCGAAUGGACUGAAGGCAGCCACCCAAGCUAAGGUCCAAAAGUUGUUGCUCUGGGAUCUACACACAAUACAGAGUGCAGUAUCAGCACAACCGACCCCAUGUACUGGUAAGUGCCUAGCCAAACCUCGGUGAAGUAGUGACGAGGCUAGGACCAAACUACCAGAUAAAUUUGUGUAGUUUAACUAUAUACAGCGGAAAAGAAGAACUGUAAUAUAUAGUCAAGUAUGGGAGGGGGAAACAUGUUGCAGGGAAACAUCAAUUAAGAAUAGAAAGAUAGUGGGUAAAUAAGAGGAAUACCAAAUCUCAACUAAUAACAAGAAUCAGAAAACAAACAAGUGCACAGCAUCACCCUUCGUGCUUUUACUCUCGUCCUCACCAAAGCAUUCAAGUAAUGAAAAUGUGCCCGACACCACCCUUUGUGCUUUUACUCUCGUCCUCACCAUAUAAUCAAUAUAAUCGGCAUGAAAUUAUACAUCGUGCGGCACGGCAUCACCCUUCGUACUUUAACACUCUUCCUCACCCAAACAACAAUCACAAACAAUAGGGCAAGGAAAUAAAUGAAAUUACAAUAAGAAUCUCGGCAAGGGAACGAUAGUCCAUCAAUCAAGUCCCGGCAAGGGAACAACAUCAAAAGAAGCAUCAACAUCCCGCCAAGGGAGAUAACAUUAAAAGCAACAAUAUCCCGGCAAGGGAGGCAAUAUUCACCAAGGCGUGAAUAAUACAACGAAGUCACAAUAAUCACAAUAUAAGACUCAUGGGCAUGCUUGACACCAACGCAUAGAUACUCGUCACCAUGCCUAUACAUCGUACUCAACAAAUACCACAUAGCAAAUAGGACUCGACUCAUAAUCCCUCAAGCUAAGGUUAGACCAAACACUUACCUCGAACUUCCACAGCCAACUCAAGCCUCAAACACCACUUUUUAUUUUGAAUUUGGCUCCUAAUCAAUUGUAUCUAGACAAAAUCGACUUAAUAACAUCAAUAAACGCUAAACGAUUCAAUUCCAAUGCUUAAUUAUAGAUUUCCUAUCAUUCUUUCCAAAAAGUCAAAAAUCGACCCCGGGCCCGCUUGGUCAAAACACAAGGUUCGGACCAAAACCCGAUCACCCAUUCACCCACGAGCCCGAAUAUGUAUUUACUUUCGAAAUCCGACCCCAAACGAGGUCUACAUUUUAUUUACACAAAAAGCCCUAAUUGUACCCAAAUCCCUAAUUUUCUACCCUUAAGAACAUGAUUUAGGCCUAGAAAUCUAAUGGAUGUUAAUAGAAAUUGAAGAAAAUGAGUCUAAGAUUACAUACCUAUGAAUUUUGGGUGAAGCUAUCUUUCAAAAAUCGUCCAAUUUGGAGUUUGGAAGAAGAAGUUAUGAAGUUUUUGUUAAAUCUCUUAUGUUCUGUUACUGUUUAAAUGACUGGGCAAAAUUGGUCUCUGCGAUCGUGAACAAGGGUAUGCGAUCGCAUGGGGUAAGGGGGAUUGGGCAUUGCGAUCGCAGAGCAUGGAUUGCGAUCGCAUAGAGGAAAAUGGGUUCUCUUCUCGGGUUUGGUUUAACUCAUUGCAAUAGCGGAAGGAACAAUGCAAUCGCAUAGAACAAUUGGUGACCUCCCAGAAUUUACUCUACGAGAUCGCGGAAGGACCUAUGCGAUCGCAUAGCACAAAAUAGGACCCCCUGAAACUACACUAUGCGAUCGCGAACCUUCCUAUGCGAUCGCAUAGCACAAGGACCUGGACACCAGCAAACAGCAGUUUUCUGCAAUUUUCCUAAGUUCAAAAACCUUCUGAGACCUAUCUGAAACUCACCCGAACCCUCGGGGCUCCAAACCAAAUAUGUACACUACCUCAAAAACACCCCACGGACUUACUCGUGCAUUCAAAUCACCAAAAUAACAUCAACAACUAUGAAUUUAGCAUCAAAAUCAUGAAAUCACUUAAGAACUUCAAAUUUUCCGUUUUUGUCAAAUACGGUCCGAUACACGUCAUUUCGAGUCCGUUUCUUACCAAAUUUCACAAACUCGACUUAACUAUAUAUAAGUCCUGUACCGGACUCAAAAACCAUAAUACGAGCCCGAUACCAUCAAAUUUUUACGCAUAUUCCAUUUCUAAAACUCAUAAAUAAUUCCAAAAAAUAAUUUUUUUUUAAAAUUCAAUUCUCCGGCUUGGGACAUCAGAAUUAGAUUCCGGGCAUAUGCCCAAGUCCCAUAUUUUCCUACGAACCCUCUAGGACCGUUAAAUCAUGGGUGUGGGUCCGUUUACCCAAAAUGUUGACCGAAGUCAACUUAAAUUUAUUUUUAAGUCAAAAUUUAUCAUUUUUCACAGAUUUUCACAUAAUGGCUUUCCUGCUACGCGCCCGGACUGCAUGCGCAAAUUGAGGUGAUGCCGAAAGAGGUUUUUAAGGCCUCGGAACGCAGAAUUUAUUUCACAAACAAGUGAUGACCUUUUGGGUCAUCACUUCUCCUUAGUCCAUAACCUUAGAAAAAAACCCAAACCUUAACAUCUGAAAUUCAUCAUAGGACCUGAAUUCCACAUCAUCACUGAACACACCCAAAUAAGCUGAAUCGAGCCAAAAAUUCCAAUCCCGAAUACAAUCACAUGCUGCUCCACACAACUCAAUGCCCGAAGCAAUAACCUCUGACCACCAUAGCUGUUCAAAUAACACACUGGAUGCCGGCAACACACCUCACAUUGAAUAUAACCUUAUUCCGGACCUCCACAUCACUGUCCUUGAUAAAGAAACAUGCAGGAACUCAUAGCCACCUAUGAAGUCAACAUGUCAAGAAGCUCUCUCGCCCGCCAAGGGCCAUCACCCAAAUCUUAGCAGUAACACCCUCAUACUUCUAAACACUCCUCACCUCCGAUACCAUAGUACUAAUCUCAGGUCUAAGAACCUCAUCUCAGCCAAUACAAGCAGCACAGCUAGCAACUCAUCAUGGAACCACACGGAUUCUCACAUUACAUAAUUCGUACACCAAACCAACAAUAACUCAAUUAUGCAGCACAAGUAAAGAAAAGCAGAGUAUAAGAAUUAUCUAACGAGAGCAACACCUACAACAACAAAAGUGUAAUUCUUCAUCAAAUCGUCCCACGGAGGGAAAACACAACACCAAAUAAACACAAGGAAAUGGCAUCCCACAUAACAUCCGUUGCGGCGUUCAGCCCGCUCCCAAAUACUCAUCAAGGCAAAAUGCUCGAGCUCACUGAACAUAUGAAUACUGAUAUCAAGUACAACAGAGUGCACAAAUAAAACUGUGGGAAAAUAAAUGAAAGUGCUAAAACAUGAAAUAAGCAAGCAUGACUAAGGUGCAAUAAGCAAAUCAAAGGCUAUCUUGCCUGCAUCAUCAUAAGGCCUGGACAGAAUUACUACCUGUGGAGGAAAUAAUCAUACAACCUUACUACCUAACACAGCAUACAAGAGUAGCACAUAUCAUAGUCUAGGGGCACAUAUAAUAUCCCUCCUACCUGAUCACAUAACCAAAAUGACAUUCUCACAGAGGCACACAAAUUUGCUUUGACACGACAUACAUAUUCUCGCUGAUCCCCCAAAUAGCCCUCAGCCAAAUCCUGAUUACCUCCAAAUAGGUAAAUAUCCUUUCCAAAAACCACAGCGACCUAUCAAUGAUGCAUGUUAUUAACUAUUUCAUCCUCAACGUUUCUCCACAAUACGCAAAUAGGAAAUAAUUCACAUAUGAGGGCAUCUAGCACCAAAACCUCAGGAAUACCAAAAUUUCCAUACUCUAACUCCACUAUGCAAUCAAAUGGCUGAUAUAUCACUUAUACCCAAUCAUUCUGCUGAAUCACUCAUAUAGAGUUUCUGAGCGCGUAACAAAAUAUGAACCUCGAAAGCCUCAAAACCCAGUAAUGACCCUACUAUCAGCCACGCACUGCAAACCAAAACUCAAGGUCCUAUCCGAAAAUGCACACUCUUCACAUAUGAUAGCCAACAAUGCCAACACUCUAUUAAUUUCAUAUACCGACUUGGGAGAAACUACAAUGUACCAUAUAUUCCUUAUGCCCAUAGAAGACACCCAACUCAAGCCAUAGUCAAACCAUCGAGAACCCUCCGAGAUCCGCUCGCAUGCAACUAAACCAUCAGGACUGCACCUCCCCAACUCAACCGAGUAAUACAAACCAUCCAAUCUAAAAGUGCUACCACAAAUGCCAAUAGAGAAUUCCUAUCCAAAAGGACCAUUUACUUCCAUGGCUAUGCUGAGCCAACACUACUGAACUGACUCAUUUCAUCGGAUAGUCGAUAUACAAUAACUCCUAUCAAAGACCCACAUACAGAUGACUCUAGCGUGAACUACUUAGCAAGAAACCCAUAGACCACCGCAUUACCUCUGAAGCACCUGUUUUGCUGCAACCACAAUGCCCACGCUGAAUAGACCUCCUGUGAAUCUGAAGUUGUUCCCCGGACUCCCCUAGAUACUGAAAUGCAGAUCCAUUAUUGAUGUAGAAAUACUGUAAGCCCCAACAUUACCCCGUUCGAGAUCCAGACGCUGGUCAUACCCCAAAUCCGGGAACCUACCAAUGCCACAUAUACACCUACCUCAGGCUAAAACUGAUACAAAUCUAACUCUGCAAUCUAAAUGCCACUAUUGGACUCCUCCACUUGGCGCAAAGCCAUAAAAAACAACAUCUGAUAAUCCACAAAACUAACCUUCACGGCUCGCACAACACAAAUCACAAGGUACUCCAACACCACCAAUUAUUCCCAAUCAACACCCGCCUUGUGACCUUGCCACGAUCGCGAUGACUAGUCAACCAAUUAAAUCUUCCAAGCUCGCACUCAUCAACCAGAUGCCGGAAACCGCUGCGCCUCCAUAUGAACAACUGAAUAGUCUCUCAAUACCUUUGUAUCUUCAGUCUGGACUCUGGACAACACGUUGAGACAAUGCCUGAGCAUCCCUGACUCCUUCGUAGCUGGUCUAUAGCAUCACGAACCACUGGUGCAUAGCGAACGUUGAGAGCGUAAUAUUAUACAUGAGUGGAUGUAGAGGGACAUAAGUCAUAUACUUCGAGCUGAAUCAAUAUCGCACGAUAGGGAAUGAAAGAAGUGGAAUUUUCUAACAGUUCUGUAGCCUCUCGAAGAUAAGUACAGACGUCUCCGUACCGAUCUGCAAGAUUCUACUAAACCUGCUUAUGACUCGUAGCACCCAUAAACCUAGAGCUCUGAUACCAACUUGUAACAACCCAAAAAUCCCUCUGAAGGAGUCGUGAUGGCACCUAGUCUCUAAACUAGGUAAGCCUAACAUAAACUGAAAUAACAUUGAUGCUUACUAACUUUAAAUUAACCAACUCUGAAUAAAUCAAAAUUCCCAAAAUCGAUGGUACAAGUCACAAGCCUAUCUAAGAAUAAUUUCACAAAACAAUACAUCACUGCCCCGAAACAAAGGAGCAAAUGGAAGUAAAUACAAAUGAAGGUGACUCUGAGAUCUACGAACACUGUAGCAAGUUUACCUUGAGUCUCCACCACCACGACUCGCACAACUACUAUCAAUACACCUGGAUUUGUACACAAAAAUGUAUAGAAGUUUAGUGUGAGCACACCACGAUGGUGCCCAGUAAGUAUCAAGACUAACCUCGGUGGGGUAGUGACGAGGAACAGCAGGACACCUACUGGUUAGAUGAAAUGAACAGGAUAUGAUAAUAAAAUAUCAAGAUAAAGAUAACAUAGUGAUAUCAACCACGGAGAGAAAAUCCAAGUACAAAUAGUAUAAUUAAUAAAGGGAGAACACGGAUGGUAACAAACAGAAACCAAGUAAAUCAGAUAACCCAAGCAAUUCAACACUGGCAUAAUAUGUAACGACCCGAUCGGUCGUUUUGAGCUCUAGUGCGCCGUUCAAUAGUCUGAGGCCAUGAGCAGCUUCAUUUCAGGUAUUAUGACUUGAACACGUGGUCGGAAUUGAAUUUCGGGAAGUUCAGAGUUGAUUUGGAAAGAGAAUUCUCAUUUCGGAAGCUUAAAGUUGAAAGAAUUAACUAGGAUUGGAUUUUUGAGUAAACGACCUCGAAAUCAAGAUCUGAAGGUUCCAGUAGGUUCGUAUGAUGAUUUCGGACUUGGGCGUAUGCCCAGAUCGGGUUUUGGAUGACCCGGGAGCAUUUUGGCACCUAUUGUGGAAGUUAGCAUUUUGGAAGAAAUUUCACAAGUUUGGCUUGAAGUGCAUUUCAGUGUUAUCGAUGUCCGUUUGGGAUUCCGAGUAUGGGAUUAGUUCCGUAUGGUAAUUUUGGAGUUGGGAACGCGAUCAGGAGUGAAUUCGGAGGUCCGUAGGUCAUUUUGGAGUCAUUUGGCUAAAGAUAGAAAAUUGAAGGUUUCUGAGAAGUUUGACCGGAAGUGAACUUUUGAUAUCUGGGUUGGAAUCCGAUUCCGAAAGUUGGAAUAGGUCUGUAAUGUUGAAUAUGACUUGUGUGCAAAGUUUGGGGUCAAUCGGACGUGAUUUGGUAGGUUUAAACAUCGAGAGUAGAAGUUUGAAGUUCUAAAGUUCAUUAAGCUUGGAUUGGAGGUCGAUUCAUGAUUUUGGCGUUGUUUGAUAUGAUUUGAGGCCUCGAGCAAGUCCGUAAUGUAUUUUGGGACUGGUUGGUAUGAUUGGUCGGGUGGAUUCUGGGUGGUUAACGGAACGAAAAUAGAAUUUGGAGAAGUGCUGAAGCAUCUGCUUCUGUCAUAACCGCACCUGCGGUUGGUCGACCGCAGGUGCGAGACCGCAGAAGUGGUCGUAGCCUCGCAGAUGUGGCCCAAGCAAGCCAGGCUAGGAACCGCAGAAGCGGCUCCCAAGCCGCAGAUGCGGCUCCGCAAAUGCGGCCUCCAGACCGCAGAAGUGGUCACAGCCUUCUCUCCCCAUUUCGCAGAUGCGGUUAUCUUCUCGCCUGACCGGAGAUACGGAAGUGCUGGAGGCAGUGAGUUCUUCUAAAAAUCGGGUGAUGGUCAUUUUCUCCCAUUUUCAUUUGGUAUGGGCGAUUUUGGAGAGCUUCAAGAGGGGAUUUUCAUCAUCAACGAUAAGAUAAGCUAACACCACCUAUAUUGAGUUAAAUAUAUCGGUUUUGUAUGGAUUUUAGCAUGUAAAUGGGUAGAAACUUUGGGGUUUGAGGAAAACCUAGAAAAAUUCGUAUUCUUGGAUUUUGACCGCGAUAUUGGGUAUGGAAUUAAGAGAAAAUCAUAUAUUUGAGUUCGUGAGUUCAUGGGUAAACUUUAUCUUCGAAAAAUUUAGGAAUCCGGGCACGUGGGCCCGAGGGCAAUUUUGUCAACUUUUUGAUCGGGGUUAGGAAUUGCUAUGAAUUCAAUUGUAAUGACUAACUGAACAUAUAUUAAUGGAUUUGCAUAAUCAUUGGCUAGUUUUGGAGUAUUGUGCAUCGAUGCGAGUCUUUGGAAGGGCGUGGAAUGCCGGUUAUGGAUUUUCGGAGUGAUGUGAGUUUCUUUUCUAAUCUUGUAAGAAGGAAUUGUCCCCAUAGGUGAGUUAAUUGGUUAUGUGCUCCUAUUUGUGGGGGCUACGUAUGCACGAGGUGACGAAACUUCAUGCGUAGCUACUAUUAUGCUAUUGUCCGGGUAGUCUAGGACCCAAAAGCAUGUUGUACUUGGAUUAUUUGUAAACUAUUUGACAGCUUGAAUUGCUUAAAUCACAUCGAAUUAGUAAAUGAAUUUCAAAAAGGAUUAAACUUCAUUUUUUUCUUAAAUCAUUAAAAGAGAAUUGGCUUUUUAUUGGAAUAAACAUUUCCCGAUAAACUCUUAAUUAGUUGUUUGACUAUGUGUAUCUAUGUGUGCCCGCAUCGCAUGUAUGAUUUGUGAGCGGGUUAUUUGUUUAUUUAAUGUUGACCGCGUCGCAUGUAUGAUGCGCGAGCGGGGUAAUAGAUGCAUCUACGUUCGCACCGUUCGACCCUCGGCAGUGCACAUUUUACAUUUCUGUUAGAUCGGAUCGUAUGACCUCGGCAUGAUUUGCGCAUGCUUGUAUUGCUUGCCUUGAGAUUGAUAUUUGCUCUCCCCGACUUGAGAUAAUUGGAAACUAUUGGAUUAUGAAUUCGUAGACUUUUAAUAUAAAAAGGAACUUUCAUCUGUUCAUGACUUACUUGAAAUUACUGUCAUUCUUAAUAAAUCCUUGAUUAUUCGCAUUUAUAAUAUAUCAUUAUUGGACCACUAGUAAGUGUCGAAGUCGACCAUCUCGUCUCUACUUCUUCGAGAUUAGACGGGAUACUCAUUGAGUACACGUUGUUUUCGUACUCAUACUACACUUCUGUGCAUUUUUGUUGCACAUGCAUAUGUAUCCCUAGUGGCCUACCGGGCGUAGCAGCAUGGUUGAUACGGAGACUUAGGUGAGUUGCACUUCUCGAGGCGACCUGCAGCCAGCAGAGUUUCUUUUAGUUAUCUGUAUUUAUUUUCUGUCCAAUAUUGUAUUCCGGACGGUUGGUUCAAUUUAUUUCCUUCUUAGUAAAUGCUCAUGCACUUGUCACACCGGGUCCUGCGAUCGGUAUAGGAUUGUUCAAUAUUAAGUUUGUUAAAACUUCAUGGUUAUUUCUGUAAAUUUCAUUAUUUGUUAUUUAAUGUAUAAAGGAAAAUGAUUUCAUCAAAUACUAAAAUUGGAAUUUAAUUAAGUAUUUUGGUUGACUUGCUUGACAGCGGUGUCCGGCGCCAUCACGACCCUUAGAGGAUUUUGGGUCGUGACAUAAUAGAGAGUGAGACAAGUAAGAAUGUAUCCAAUUAAAGAAAACAAUGUCAACUCAAUCAAUCACAUCAUGUUUAAUACACCAUCCCGAUCAUUUCAAUCCUCGAUUUCUCAUAUCAUAAUCUCAACUUUCGAACUUUCAGCACAUAUGGCACCUCGUGCCCGCAUUUUUUUUCCAUCUCACUCUUAAUAACAAAAUUCACAUGAUAUACAAUACAAAAUGUCUUUAAAAAUGCACUUAAGAUGUUCAAGAAAUCCUAUUUACAUAAUAUAAAUUAAAUUUCAAUUUCUAAAUAAGUUUGGAAAAUCGGCGAGAAAAGAUGAAGUUAUUUUUAGAAAUCAUUCGAAUAAGAAAGUACCCUUUUCAAUUUAAAAUACAACAUUGGAAUAAUUAUUACUCUUAACAGGGGAGUGGGUAACAUAAAACUUAGUAGAAAUUUCAUUUUAAGAAAAAUACAACCUCAGACGGUUUAAGGGGAUAUAAUUGAGAAACUAAUUGAAUUAUGGAUGUAACAAUUAUUGAAGUUUGAAGUAUUGGAACGUAUAAAUAAAUAUAUAUAAAUACGGUGAGGUAUUGAAAACAUUAUGGAUUUUAACACAAAGGAACACAGCAAUAAAGAAAUUAAACAGUUUAAACAUUGGAAUUGAUAACAACAAAUAACACAGCAGCAGAAAGUGCACGGCAUCACCCUUCGUGCUUUUACUCUCGUUCUCACCAUAAGAAUCAAUAUUCUACUUUUUAUUAUUUCUUGUUGNNNNNNNNNNNNNNNNNNNNNNNNNNNNNNNNNNNNNNNNNNNNNNNNNNNNNNNNNNNNNNNNNNNNNNNNNNNNNNNNNNNNNNNNNNNNNNNNNNNNNNNNNNNNNNNNNNNNNNNNNNNNNNNNNNNNNNNNNNNNNNNNNNNNNNNNNNNNNNNNNNNNNNNNNNNNNNNNNNNNNNNNNNNNNNNNNNNNNNNNNNNNNNNNNNNNNNNNNNNNNNNNNNNNNNNNNNNNNNNNNNNNNNNNNNNNNNNNNNNNNNNNNNNNNNNNNNNNNNNNNNNNNNNNNNNNNNNNNNNNNNNNNNNNNNNNNNNNNNNNNNNNNNNNNNNNNNNNNNNNNNNNNNNNNNNNNNNNNGCGGCGUGCAACCCGAUCCAUAUAAUAUUGUUGCGCGUGCAACCCGUUCCAUAUAAUAUUAUUGCGACAUGCAACCCGAUCCAUAUAAUAUUGUUGCGGCUUUCAACUCGAUCCAUAUAAUAUUGUUGUGGCGUGCAACCCAAUCCCAAUAUACCAAUCAACACCAAUCAUGACAGAAUCCCGACAAGAGAAUAAUAAGGAAACAACAUCCCGGUAAGGGAGUCAACAAUAAGAAUAAACACGUCCUGGCAAGGGAACUAACAUUAAGAAUUAAAUAUGUCCCGGCAAGGGAAUCAACUAUAACCAAACUUGUACCAACAUUUAACUUUACAAUGAAACCUCAACUACACAACAAGAUAUAAUAAGCACGUGAUAACUACACCGGCAACCACAACAAUUGGACGUGUAACCUAUUUGCACGAAGUCAUAGAGGAACUCACAAUCAAGAAGGAUCAAAACAAUAAGGAAUGCAAUCACUUCAAUUAAGGCAAUUAAGGGUCAAUGUAACACGUAAGAAUUAGAGGAAAGCUAACAACGUCAUAUGGAGCAUAUAGAGGCAAUUUAAGCAACUAGGAAUCCCAAUCAUAACAGGAUACUUUCCGCAUAAGGACCUAAGAACCCUAGAGCAUAUUUUCCACAAAUAAGUCCGAGCACACACUCGUCACCUUGCAUGCACGGACUACAAUUAGCAUAGAAAAUUCAAUUCCUAAGGGGAAGUCCCCCACACAAGGUUAGGCAAGGUACUUACCUCAACUAUUCCGAAUAAUAAAGUUUCAAUCUUUACAAAAAUAUAAAAAUCGACCCACGGGCCCGCACCUCGGAACCCGUCAAAUUUUACAAAAUUCGAUCACCCAUUCCAAAAUAAGUUCAACCAUACAAAAUUUAUCCAAUUCCGAUACCAUUUGGUCUCUCAAAUCGUGAUUUUUUAUUUUGAAAUUUUUCUUCAAAAAACAACUCUUUUCUCAACCCAAAACACAAUUUAAAUGAUAAAAAUAAAGAUAAAUUUAUAGAAUAUAUUUAAUUCUAGUUGAAGAACACUUACCCAAUCGAAUUUCGUGAAAACUCCACCAAAAAUCGCCAAGAACCGAGCUCUAGAAGUCAAAAUAUAAUGAAAAUAGUGUAACCCUCGAUUUUGGAAUAUAUUCUGUCCGGCCAGGUGUUUGUUCAUUGUGAUCGCGGGAGAAGUGAUGCGAUCGCGUAGAAGAAAAUAGCUACUGGCCCAAAAUGUUCUAUGCGAUCGCGGGCAAAUCAAUGCAAUCGCAUAGAAGGAAAAUGUUGUUGUCCAAAUUUGUGCUAUGCUAUCGCGGAAAAAUCAAUGCAAUCGCAUAGAAGGAAAAUGUUGUUGUCCAAAUUUGUGCUAUGCUAUCGCGGACAAAUCAAUGCGAUCUCAUAGAAGGAAAUACCAGAUACCAGAACAACAGUUCAAACAUAGGGAAAAAUGACCCGUAGCCCAUCCGAAAUACACUCGAGGCUCUCGAGACCCUGUUUAAUCACACAAACAAGUCAUAUAACCUAACACGGACUCGCUCGAGGUUUCAAAUCACAUAAAACAACAGCAAAACAACGAAUCAAACCAAAAAUCAAACUUACGAAUUUCCAAAUCUUCAAAUAUCAAAUCUCAUGCCGAAAACUAUCAAUUCAACUCGGAAUAACGCCAAAUUUUGCAGACAAGUCCAAAAUGACAUGACAGAGCUGAUCCAACUCUUGGAAUCGCAUUCCGACCAUGAUAUCAUAAAAGUCAACUAUGGGUCAAACUUCUCCAUUUUCCAAACUUUAACUUUUCCAACAUUCGCCGAAAUGCCUCAAUUUACCCUACGGACCUCCAAAUCCGAAUCCGGGUGCGCGCCUAAGUCCAAAAUCACCAUACGAAGCUGUUAAAUCAUCCAUGACCCAUUUCGAGGCCGUUUACCCAAAAGUCCAAUUCCGGUCAAAUUCUCACCAUUUAAACUUCCAAAGCUAGUUUCCUUCUUCCAAUUUAACCCUGAAUCAUCCGUUAACUGAAUUCAACCAUGCACGCAAGUCAAUACAUAUAUUAUGAAGUUGCUCGAGACCUCAAACUGUCUAACCGGGCACAAUUGCUCAAAAUGACCAGUCGGGUCGUUACAUUGCAGGACUAGUAUCACUAUAUAGCGACUAGGUGUGAUUGCACUCAACUACUGAUGGAGGAUAUAUGUAAACUACUUUGAUAAAUUAUAAGUAUAUUUGAAAAUUUCUUAUUAUUUAUUUGUUAAUAAUAACUUUUGAGUUAUACUUUUAAUAUUAUAUUCUAUUAUAACGGAUAUCUCUUGAACGAGGAAAGGGACAGGAACAUUGUGCUAGAUGAGUUGGAGAAUUCAGGGAGUCAUAGGGAUUUUGGAUUUUUUAGGCGUAUUAGGAGCAUAGAAGUGGAGGGGGCGAUGCGGAAGAUGGUCAGGGGUAAAGUUACUGGGCUAAAUGAGAUUCCAUUGGAAUUUUGAAAGGUAGUAGGUGGAGCAGUCUUGGAGUGACUUACUGGUUUGUUUUAAUGUCAUUUUUAGGAAGAAGAAAAUGCCCGAAGUUUGGCGGCGGAGUUUAAUGAUCCCGUUGUAUACAAACAAAGGUGAUAUCCAGGACUAUAACAACUAUAGAGGUAUCAAGUUAUUGAGUCAUACUAUGAAAGUUUGGGAGAGGGUGGUGGAGAUGAGGGUGCGAUGUAGUGUUAACCGGUUUGGAUUUAUGUCGGGAUGGUCUACUAAAGAAGACAUUCACCUUGUGAGGAGAUUGGUGGAGCAGUAUAAGGAGAGGAAGAAGGACUUGCAUUUGGUAUUCAUCGACCUAGAGAAAGCCUAUGUAAAAUCCCGCGAGAGGUCAUAUGGAAAUGUAUGGAGGCUAGCGGUGUCCCGAUGGUGUACAUUAUGGAGAUUAAGGACAUGUACGAGGGAGCGAAGACUCGGGUGAGGACUGCGGGAGGAGACUCGGAUCAUUUUCUAGUGGAGAUGGGGUUACAUCAAGUAUCGGCUCUUAGCCAUUUUUGUUUGCCUUAGCUUUAGAUGUGCUGACACAUAACAUGCAAGGGGAGGUGCCAUAAUGUAUGUUAUUCAUUGAUGACAUAGUCUUAAUUGACGAAACGCGAGGUGGAGUUAAUGCUAAGUUGGAAGUUUGGAGACAAACGCUGGAGUCAAAAGGUUUCAAGUUGAGUAAGUCAAAAAUUAAGUACUUAGAGUGCAAGUUCAGUAAGGGGAUGCAUGAAAGAAGAAGUGGAAGUGAGGAUUGGUACUCAGGUUAUCCUAAAAGAGAUAGUUUUAAGUAUCUUGGGUCUAUUAUUAACGGCAACGAGGAGAUUGACGAGGAUGUUACUCAUCGUAUUGGAGCUGGGUGGAUGAGAUGGAGGCUCGCCUCGGGGAUUUUUUGUGAUAAGAAUGUGCCCCCUGGACUUAAGGGCAAGUUCUAUAAAGUGGUGGUUAGACCGACUAUGCUGUAUGGAGCUGAGUGUUGGCCUGCCAAGAAAUCCCAUGACCAAAAGAUGAAAGUAGCUGAAAUGAGGAUGUUGAGAUGGAUGUGUGGGCAUACUAGGAAAGACAGGAUUACGAAUAAAGUUAUUAGGGACAAGGUAGGAGUGGCAUCUAUAGAGGACAAGUUGCGAGAAUCGAGUCUGAGAUGGUUCGGGCAUGUGAAGAGGAGAGACAUAGAUGCUCCGGUGAUGAGGUGUGAGAAGUUGUCCAGGACGGGUCUGAAGAAGGGAAAAGGUAGGCCUAAGAAGUAUUGGGGAGAGGUAAUUAGGUAGGACAUGUCAUUGCUUCAGCUUACCGAUGACAUGACCCACGAUAGGAAGGUGUAGAGGUCGAGGAUUAUGGUUGUAGGUUGACAGAUAGUAGUGUGUUCCUCCUAGGCCAUUCAAUAGUACUAGGACUAUUUUUGUAAUUUAAUAUUUAUAAUUCUUUGUUAUGCAUGCAUUUAUGCCCGUUACCAUGUUACAUUGUUGUUAAUAUUCUUUGCUACUUGGUUGCUUUAUUUUCAGUGUUUCUUGAGCCGAGGGUCUAUCGGAAACAUCCUCUCUAUCUCUAUGAGGUAGGGGUAAGGUCUGCAUACACAGUACCCUCCCCAGAUCUUAUUCAUGAGAUCAAACUGAGUUUGUUGUUGUUGUUAUUAUAACAGAUAUAGUACAUAUGUCAAAUUUAUCUUUCAAAUUAUAUGCGCUGAUUAAAUGUUAGUCACAUGAAAUAAGUUGGAUAGAACAACCAUUUUACUAUAUAGUUCUUUUUCUCACUACUAGUCUUAGGGUACGCGCGUUGCGCGUGUACCUCCAUAUUAAUGAGCACUAAGAUUUUCUAAAAGUAUAUAUAUAUAUAUAUAUAUAUAUAUAUAUAUAUAUAUAUAUAUAUAUANNNNNNNNNNNNNNNNNNNNNNNNNNNNNNNNNNNNNNNNNNNNNNNNNNNNNNNNNNNNNNNNNNNNNNNNNNNNNNNNNNNNNNNNNNNNNNNNNNNNNNNNNNNNNNNNNNNNNNNNNNNNNNNNNNNNNNNNNNNNNNNNNNNNNNNNNNNNNNNNNNNNNNNNNNNNNNNNNNNNNNNNNNNNNNNNNNNNNNNNNNNNNNNNNNNNNNNNNNNNNNNNNNNNNNNNNNNNNNNNNNNNNNNNNNNNNNNNNNNNNNNNNNNNNNNNNNNNNNNNNNNNNNNNNNNNNNNNNNNNNNNNNNNNNNNNNNNNNNNNNNNNNNNNNNNNNNNNNNNNNNNNNNNNNNNNNNNNNNNNNNNNNNNNNNNNNNNNNNNNNNNNNNNNNNNNNNNNNNNNNNNNNNNNNNNNNNNNNNNNNNNNNNNNNNNNNNNNNNNNNNNNNNNNNNNNNNNNNNNNNNNNNNNNNNNNNNNNNNNNNNNNNNNNNNNNNNNNNNNNNNNNNNNNNNNNNNNNNNNNNNNNNNNNNNNNNNNNNNNNNNNNNNNNNNNNNNNNNNNNNNNNNNNNNNNNNNNNNNNNNNNNNNNNNNNNNNNNNNNNNNNNNNNNNNNNNNNNNNNNNNNNNNNNNNNNNNNNNNNNNNNNNNNNNNNNNNNNNNNNNNNNNNNNNNNNNNNNNNNNNNNNNNNNNNNNNNNNNNNNNNNNNNNNNNNNNNNNNNNNNNNNNNNNNNNNNNNNNNNNNNNNNNNNNNNNNNNNNNNNNNNNNNNNNNNNNNNNNNNNNNNNNNNNNNNNNNNNNNNNNNNNNNNNNNNNNNNNNNNNNNNNNNNNNNNNNNNNNNNNNNNNNNNNNNNNNNNNNNNNNNNNNNNNNNNNNNNNNNNNNNNNNNNNNNNNNNNNNNNNNNNNNNNNNNNNNNNNNNNNNNNNNNNNNNNNNNNNNNNNNNNNNNNNNNNNNNNNNNNNNNNNNNNNNNNNNNNNNNNNNNNNNNNNNNNNNNNNNNNNNNNNNNNNNNNNNNNNNNNNNNNNNNNNNNNNNNNNNNNNNNNNNNNNNNNNNNNNNNNNNNNNNNNNNNNNNNNNNNNNNNNNNNNNNNNNNNNNNNNNNNNNNNNNNNNNNNNNNNNNNNNNNNNNNNNNNNNNNNNNNNNNNNNNNNNNNNNNNNNNNNNNNNNNNNNNNNNNNNNNNNNNNNNNNNNNNNNNNNNNNNNNNNNNNNNNNNNNNNNNNNNNNNNNNNNNNNNNNNNNNNNNNNNNNNNNNNNNNNNNNNNNNNNNNNNNNNNNNNNNNNNNNNNNNNNNNNNNNNNNNNNNNNNNNNNNNNNNNNNNNNNNNNNNNNNNNNNNNNNNNNNNNNNNNNNNNNNNNNNNNNNNNNNNNNNNNNNNNNNNNNNNNNNNNNNNNNNNNNNNNNNNNNNNNNNNNNNNNNNNNNNNNNNNNNNNNNNNNNNNNNNNNNNNNNNNNNNNNNNNNNNNNNNNNNNNNNNNNNNNNNNNNNNNNNNNNNNNNNNNNNNNNNNNNNNNNNNNNNNNNNNNNNNNNNNNNNNNNNNNNNNNNNNNNNNNNNNNNNNNNNNNNNNNNNNNNNNNNNNNNNNNNNNNNNNNNNNNNNNNNNNNNNNNNNNNNNNNNNNNNNNNNNNNNNNNNNNNNNNNNNNNNNNNNNNNNNNNNNNNNNNNNNNNNNNNNNNNNNNNNNNNNNNNNNNNNNNNNNNNNNNNNNNNNNNNNNNNNNNNNNNNNNNNNNNNNNNNNNNNNNNNNNNNNNNNNNNNNNNNNNNNNNNNNNNNNNNNNNNNNNNNNNNNNNNNNNNNNNNNNNNNNNNNNNNNNNNNNNNNNNNNNNNNNNNNNNNNNNNNNNNNNNNNNNNNNNNNNNNNNNNNNNNNNNNNNNNNNNNNNNNNNNNNNNNNNNNNNNNNNNNNNNNNNNNNNNNNNNNNNNNNNNNNNNNNNNNNNNNNNNNNNNNNNNNNNNNNNNNNNNNNNNNNNNNNNNNNNNNNNNNNNNNNNNNNNNNNNNNNNNNNNNNNNNNNNNNNNNNNNNNNNNNNNNNNNNNNNNNNNNNNNNNNNNNNNNNNNNNNNNNNNNNNNNNNNNNNNNNNNNNNNNNNNNNNNNNNNNNNNNNNNNNNNNNNNAAACUUAAUAAAAGCACAUAAGUCACAACAUGUAUUUAAAUUAGAUAUUUAGCCAUUAUAACAAUUUAAGCGACCAUGCUAGAACCACGGGAUUUGAGGGUUCCUAACACCUUCCCUCGGGUCAACAUAAUUCCUUACUUAGAAUUUCUGGUUCGCAAACUUCAUUUGGAAAAGUCAAAAAUUUCCUCGAUUUGGGAUUCAAGAUAAACCGGUGGCUUGGGACACCAAAAGCCAAACCUUUCCCAAGUGGCGACUCUGAAUUAAAUAAAUAAUCCCAUUUCAAAUAUUGUCACUUAAAUUGGAAAAACUCCACCCGCGCAUCUUACCCUUCGGGGCCGGGCGCGCAAAAAGGAGGUGUGACACAUACGCCUAGACCCCUUAUCCUUAGAAGAGAAAUAUGUGAUUCUCAUGAUCCCAACCCUACAAGACAAUCUCUUACCAACAUGUCUUUACAAUCCUCCACACUUGCUAAUGCAUUUGGAACUUUCACUGCCUCUAGAAAGGAGCACCCCACAUUAUGAAGAUUUAAUGAAGAUAAUGCUUUGGAAUUGCUGGGGAGCUCAGAAUCAAGAAUUCCGUUGGAACCUCAGAUUUUUUCUUACAUGGAAUAAUCCAUCCAUCAUAUGCCUUAUAAAAACAAAGAUGGCAGACCACAUUGAUCUCCUCAUCGAAUUCAACUACACUGAUUUAAUCCAAGUUGCAGCACAAGGUCAUUCAGGAGGUAUUGUACUUUUAUGGGGAGCCCAUGAUUUGGUUGUCAAACCAGUAGCAGUCACAAGCCAAGAGAAACAUGGUUUUGUCCAGGUCAAUGAUCCAAGAACCCGACAUCCAACAACUUAGCCAUUGUGGUGCCAUUGGCAUCAAUAUUGUCAUGAUUCUAUAUUUUGAAGAACCCCUCCCCCCUUUUUUACUUUCAUGCAAUUAGAUUUUGAUGUAAUUGGUACUAGCAACUUACAUUUUAGUCACCUCUUGUAAUCUAGUACUUAACUUUAUUGAUGCAGUCCUCCGUUUCAGCAAAAAAAAUGUCAAAUACACAUAGCCAUAGUCGACCGUCGAUGAAACCACCACAUUUACUAACCAAUUCCACUAUUAACUUAUCUGAACUUUAUUAAUUUUUUUCCACCCAAAGGUCAAUAUGUGUUAUUUUAAGUUUUUCUAUUCCAUAAAAUAAGAACACGCCUAGUCAAAAAUUUCCCAAAACCUCUGAAACGAGGCUCAAGCCAUAGUGCACUGAAAUGGGAGUCAAAGUAGAUCGAGGGUGACUUCUUUGUUGGGGGCAGUUCCGGUCUCAAUUGGUUCUCCAAUCAAAAUUUUAUUAGCAUUUUUUUUCUAAUUAUUCACUUCAUUCACCGAUUACUCUAUUCAAGCUCUGAUCUCCGAGUAUGAUAUGAAGUUAAAAUCAAUUAGGGAGAUCCGAAAUCAGCAAUACAGUUAACUCUCCACUAAUGUGUAUAUCGUCAUGUAUACAUAUAUGUACAUCAUAUUAUAUAUCAUGAAUACAAUGUCGGAUGUGUGAUAUAUGUUAUACAUUACGGAAAACCUUAAAAACCUAUUUCGAGCAGGGUCCUCUGCUGGCAUAUUCAUUCUUUUUCUUUAUUGUAUUAUGUAUGGCAUUUCCAAGUUGAUAUUUUUUUAGCAGUCGCCGUAGUAAAUAGGAGAGAAAAUCUAAUUAAAUUCUUCGUUUUUACAAAAACUUUACAAAAAAAAUAGGGGUAAGCUUGUGACACAUUCACUAAAAAAAUCCUUUUGUAGCCAAUCAUUUAUUAAAAAAAUUGAUAAGCUUAACACAGUAGCAUCAACAGUCUAGCCCAGUUGCUUCCCUUUCAGUCGCUUCCUCAAAUUCUGGAUCUCGCUCUCAGCUUUGUCGAUCCUCUCAAGUUUUAUAUCAUGUUGAAGGCUUAUGAAUCGUUUUCCCCAAAAGAUCGAGCUUACCUCAUCUCAGUUCAAUCCAUAGAAUCUCCGGAGCUUUCCUAGCCACUAUACUUUUCUUUUUUUGUCUUCUUUGUCUGAAAAUUGUGCGAUCGAUCCAAUAAACCAAAGCAUCCUGGCCAACCCACGAUCUCAUCACUUAGUGGUCUGGCAUAUAGUUAAACAGGUUGACCCUGGAAACCGCUUUCUUAAGUAUGCUGUCCUAGGGGACAAUGUAGGAGGACACUCGUUUAUAUGAAAGAAUUUUAGGUAAUUGGGCUUUUUCUUAGUUAUGAACCCCAAAAUUAAUAGGAAAGAGAGCACUGUCUACUCAGACUGUCACACCGGCAACGUGUCGGUGUUGACUUGGAUCUCGGGUGAUGGAAUAAGGCGGCCAGAAGCGACGAGCAGUCGCAGUCGAAGCUUGGCUCUUGCCGAUAAGCUCCCCUUUUUCAGUUGCGUUGCACUGCCGCAUAAAUAAUGGAUCCGCUGGACCUUCGGGAGACAGUGGGGUUUCUAGUGGCAUUCCUGGGGGCCCAAGCUGCGGGUUCGAGCCCCGUCAGUCCCGACAUAUUCAAUAAAUAUAUCAAUUUAUCUCUCCAUUUUCUGUGGAAAAGGGUCUUUUUGGAGCUCCUUCCAAAGAGGUUAGGAUUAGACUUUCAAUUGGAUGUGUCCCGGUCAAAUCUUGUCUGCACAAUAAGAGAAUGAGGGAGCUAAUCUGUUUGCUUGUGUAGGCGAUCCAAAAUUUGAGGAAGCGACUGGAAGGGAAGCAACUGAGCUAGACUGUUGAUCUUUUGGAGUAGCCUGACCCUAGGAAAGAGACUAUAAUCGCCACCGAGAAUAAACAUGUUGUGCUGGGAGAAAGACUGCAAUCUCAGGCAUACUAUUGAUAGAGUAAGGAAAGGACAUGGGAAAAGCGCGCUAAUCAAAUCAUAUCCCUUCUUAGUUCCAGCUAACAGUGACAUACCAACCACGCCCGAUCAUAAAGCCCCCUGAUCCCUUUAUUUGUCUUUCAUCCCCCCAAAGGAGAGACUGGUAGAGAUCAUCUUUGUUAGCGGCAUUCUCCCUUCUAUCUAUAUUAAAUUGAAUUAUGGAGGUGCAAUUUAUUUGGAGGAGGUGGGUUCAAUAAGAAAAGCUAGGGAUUUUCCCUUUACUAGUAAGAGGCAAAGAUCAUCAGCUUUUAGUCAUCUAUCUCGCUACCUACUCCUUUUGCAAAAAGGCUUGAAGGCAAUUCUGAUUCUUCAAUAAAAAUUGAUUUUAAUGCUAUUUUUUUUGUUUUUUAUGAGUUUAGCCAAAUUAUCAUGAAAGGUAAAAGGGGAUAAAGGAACCGUGUGUUGAUUGUCCUGUAAAUAUAAGUUGUCUUCCUCCAUAUGUAAAAAGGGAAUAAAUAAAUCAAUUAAAUUUCGCGAUGCUUCAUGAAGUGCUUCUUUCGUCGCUAAAUAAAACCAAAGUUCCACUACAACCAAGUAAAGAGAUAGAGCAUUCACGGAGCCAUCCUCGUCUCUAGCUCCAACUACAUUUUGUGACUAAGCUGCUUCGGGAGACAGUGAGGUUGUUCUGCUUAGGGAGUAGCCCGUCAAAGAGCCUUAUAGUCUAGUCUACUCAGACCUCUACUAGGGCUAGAGCUAGCUGGAAAAAGAAAAGACUUAGCCAAAAAGAAGUACAUAAUAAGAAAAUGAUCCACGCUCCACCUUCCGUCCACCUUAAACUAGGCUUUCUCCUCGCUUUGAACUCAAAUAAGACCUUCUUUUGGUCGAGUGACUUCAUUCAUGGUCUUCCUAUUCCUUUCGCUUUCCCAGCCUAGCUAAAAGUUCUCCAAAAGUAUGAAAAGCUGGAGGACUUUGUACCAUCCAUUCUAGUGUGGUUGGAGAGCUAAAAGCUUGAGUUGAAUCAGCUGAGAGUUCAAGCCCCUUUUCUUUAUAAUAAGCUUCCACUUUUUGUUUUGUCCAAUUUUUCGGAAAAUACUGUAAAGAGUGGACAAGGAAUUAAAUUAUCCCUGCCGAUGUAUUUUGACAUCCAACAACUUCGGCAGGAUUGUUUAGCCCCGUUCAUCUUCGGUGCAAGAGCGCUCUAUCAGGUUGAUUUAUCAGUUUGAAGAUUGCUGCUACGGGAUCUAGCGGCUCCAGCUGUAUUAACGAUAGUCCUUCAUUGCAACUUAGAUUGCACGAUUAAGUAUGAAAGUCAGUACCAUCUUAAGGACGGGUUUUCUUGUUCAUAUAUCAAGGGAUGGUAAGGUUUUGCGCGUUGUAUCAAAUUAAACCACAUGCUCCACCGCUUGUGCAGGCCCUUUUCAGCCUUUUCUUACUUAUUUUUGAAGAUGAGCCUUCCCGCGUCUUCCUGCACAGGCAUCUGUUCUCCUAAGAUCCAGGUUUCUGCACGAUGAUUUGUUCUAUCGAAUGCAUGGAGAUUCUGUGUGUUGGUGGUUCGAGAAUCUAUGAAAGGACAUAUAAGGCUAAGGUUACGAAGGCCGAGUAAGCAACUGAAGAAAUUUCGUGUAUAGGUUUUCAGUAUUAGAAAGGUCGGGGUGAUUGCAGUAUAUUUUGGCCUGUAGUUAGCUCCGAUGGACGAUUUUAAGUCUCAAAAUUUUAGAAAAAGGCAUCUAUAAAUGUUGUGUUAUAUAUUGAUAUAUACAAGAAGAAAAAUAAAAUUUCAACAUACAUAAAAAGGAAAAUAAAGCUAUAAUAUACAUUUUUAUUACACAUUAUUAUUAUGUAUAAUAAUUAUACAUGCAAUAUGAUUAUUUUUGUAUUAUAUUCUUGGAUAUACAUGCAUCAGUAAAUUAUAGACAACUAUAUUUAUAAUUUAAUAUUUUAGAUCUCUCUCUAAACUUGGAAGGCAAGGUUGAUUAAGUGAAUCAAAGACGAGGAAGGCAAGGUACUGGUGGAAGAGGCGUGUACUAAACGCAGGUGGCAGACAUUCUUCCAUAAACUCUUAAACAAGGAUGGGAUAGGAACAUCAUACUUGGGGAGUUGGAGAACUCGGAGAGCCAGCCUGAUUUUGGGUUUUGUAUGUGCAUUAAGGUUGAUGUGGUUGAGGAGGUUAUACAAAAGAUGAUAAGGGGCAGGAAAACUGAACUGGACGAGAUUUCGGUGAACUUUUGGAAGGAUGUGGACCCGGCAGGAUUGGAGUGGCUUAUUAGAUUGUUUAAUGUUACUUUUAGGACAAAGAAGAUGCCCGAAGAAUAGAGAUAGAGUUUGAUGGUCUCGUUGUACAAAAAAGGGUGAUGUUUAGGAUUGCAACAACUAUAGGGGUAUCACGCUGUUGAGUUACACUAAGGAAGUUAGGGAGAGGGUGGUGGAGAGGAGGGUGAGGAGAAGUAUGUCUAUUUGGGAGAAUCAAUUCAGAUUCAUGCCUGGGCGGUCAACUACAAAAGCAAUUCACCUUGUGAGGAGGAUGAUGGAGCAAUGUAGGGAGAGGAAGAAAGACUUGCAUAUGGUGUUCAUAGACCUAUAGAAAGCCUACAAUAAAGUCUCGGGGAGGUUUUAUGGAGAUGUUUGGAGGUUAGAAGUGUUCAGAUAGCAUCCAUUAGGGUGAUUAAGGAUAUGUACGAUGGAGCUAAGAUAUUGGUAAGGACCGUGGGAGGAGACUCGGAUUAUUUCCUUAUGGAGAUAGGGUUACAUCAAAGAUCAACUCUUAGCCCAUUUUUAUUUACUCUGACAAUGGAUGUGCUAAUGCAACAUACUCAAGGGGAGGUGACGUGAUGUAUGUUAUUCGUAGAUGACAUAUUGCUAAUCGAUGAAAUGCGACGCAUUAAUGCUAGGCUGGAGGUGUGGAGACAGACGCUGGAGUCUAAAGAUUUCAAGUUGAGUAGGACGAAAACAAAAUACUUGGAGUGUAUUAUCAGUGUUGGGACGCAUAUUGAAGAAGUGGACUUGAAGCUUGAUACACAAGUCACCCCCAAUAAGGAUUGUUUCAAAUACCUUGGUUCCAUAAUUAAGGCAUUCCUUGUUCAGAUCUUUGUAAUUUACACACAUUCUUAGCUUAUUUACUUUUUUAGACACUACCAAUAUGUUAGAUAACCAGUCCAGGUAUUUAAUUCGUAAUGAACCCUAUUUUAAGGAGUAUAGAUACCCUGUCCUUGAUGAAUGUAUGCUUGGCCUCGAACUAUGGUCUCCUCUUCUGUUUAACCAGGUGGAACUUCGGUUCCAAACUCAGCUUAUAAGUGGUCACUUCUUAGGGGAUCCUUGUCAUGUCAAGGUGGUCCAAGAGAAACCUUUUAUGUUAGCUUUAAGAAAUUCAAUGAGUUUUUCCUGAGCUUGGGAGUUAACCCCGUGCCCAGAUACACCUUUCGAUCUAGUAGGUCCUCGGUCAAUGACAUUCUCCAACUCCUCGACCAAUGAUUUUGUGGCGUUGGUAUCAUUAGGAGCUACGAACGACCUCAAAACUCCAUAAUCAUCCUCCUUGUCUACUUUAUGGUCCUCCAGUUCGGUCGGGGCUGACACCAGUGGUUACUAUUUAAUUUCUUCCUUUCUAGUCAACUCUGGGUUUCGUGAUGUCGAACUGCGAGCACUAGGAUUACCUUAUCGACUACGAACAUUUACUUAGCAGGUGGUUGUUCUCCGUAGACCGUCUUGACUCCUCUCGGUGUAGGGAACUUCAGUGCUUGGUGUAAGGUUGAAGGUACUACCUUUAUGUUAUGAACCCAUGGCCUUCCGAAUAGGGCUUUGUACCUCAUGUACCCUUCGAUCACAUAGAACUUUGCCUCUUGGAUUGUCCCGGCGGUGUUCACUGGCACGGUUAUCUCCCCUUUAGUAGUUUCUCAUGCCAUGUUAAAUCUGUUCAACACCCGGACCGCCAACACUAUUUGGUUUUGUAACCCCAACUGCUCUACGACCCUCGAUCUGAUGAUGUUGGUUGAGUUACUCUGAUCAAUCAAUACACGUUUAACUUGAGAUUUAUUGAUCAGAGGCGAUUCUUUUCCCAGAGAAAUCACGGUGGUAUUUCUCCCGUACCUUCUUGAAUUCUUUAAUCACCCAAUUGAAAAGACCAUAUGUCACCUUCUUGAUGGUCCACAUGUCAUGCCCUUUUUUCCACCAAUACAAUAAAGGAUCCAACCCAGGGGAGAAUCUAAUAUUCAUUUUAUAAGUUUAUUUGAAUCCUGUAAUUUAAAUGUGUUAGUGUAAUAAUAUUUAGGGGAAUUUGACAUUCCAUGACAAUCUGAUCCAACAAUUGACAUAAAAAAACUAGUUUUUGGAUUUGGCACCUAGUAGACCAAAUUGAACAUUUAUCUAAAUUGAAUUAACAUCCAAUAAUCGAACCAUUUUCCUUAAAUAGCAAAUAAUACUUACCACAUUCUCUUUUUCUAGUGGUGGUUAUCAUCUUAAAAAUAAGCUUCAUUUUCUUUCCAUUAUUAUCUGAAAAUCUCUUAAAAUUUUCUCCCAGAUCUCUCUACUUUCUUUUUCUAACUUUUUUUAAUUUCUCAUUAUAUCAAUGUAUUUCAAGUUUAGAGAAUAACAACAACAAUGUACAACAAACCCAAUUGAAUCCCACAAAGAGGAGGGGGCAUAGAGAAGAUAAUAUGUACGCAGACCUUACCUCCACUUUAUGAAGGUGAAAAGUCUAUUUUCGAUAGACUCUAGGCUCAAUAACAACAGAAGAAAGCAAUAACAAAAUAAUAGCGACAACAAGGGAAAAAAAAAGCGGAAGCAAAUGGCAAAACAUGUAAUAACUAAGAACAAGGAAUACAAGAAUAUAAGACUAGUGUCAACUACUGGUGAUAGUUAUGCACCGUGUAAUAACAAGGAACUAGGAAUAGAAAAAUAUAAGACUAGUGCUAAUAUUACUGAUAAGACAAGGAGAAACUCGCAACAACCUGUCAACCACAACCUUAAUUCUCGACCUCCACACUUUCCUAUCAAGUGUCAUGUCCUCGGUAAGCUGAAGUAGUGACAUGUCAUACAUAAUCUCCUCUCCCUAGUACUUCUCCGGCCUUUCUCUACCCCUUCUGUGACCGCCACAGUCAACCUAUCAUACCUUCUGACCGAGACAUUGGCGCCUCAACUCUUCACAUGCCCAAACUAUCUCAGCCUCGAUUCCCGCAACUUGUCUACUACAAGAGCCACACCAUCUUGUCCCUAAUAACUUCAUUCCUGUUUUGUCUUUUCUGGUAUACCCACACAUCCAUCUUAAUAUCCUCAUUUUUUGCUAGUUUCAUCUUUUGGACAUGAUAUUUCUUGACAGGCCAACACUCGACUCCAUAUAACAAAGUCGGUCUAACUACCACUUUAUAGAACUUACCAUUAAGUCUUGGUCGCAUAUUUCUAUUGCAUAAGACGCUCGAUGCGAGCAUCCAUUUCAUCAGUCGUGCUCCAUACGAUGUGUAACAUCCUCAUCAAUCUAUUCAUUACAUUGUAAAGAUUCUUUUCCCUUGCCUAACAUUGAUCGGAUGAUCGACACGACGGCCGGGCACGAGAUACUCAGCUUUAUUGAUGCCUAUUUUGGGUACAACCAAAUUUGGAUGGACCUAGGCGAUCAAGAAAAGACUUCUUUUAUCACUAAAUUCGGCACCUAUUGUUAAAACAUAAUUCCAUUUAGAUUAAAGAAUUUUGGCACCACCUAUCAAUGCCUAGUAAACUGUAUGUUUGAAAAACAAAUAGAAAUAUUAAUGGAAGUUCAUAUUGACGACAUGUUAGUCAAGUCACUGCGAGAAGAGGACCAUUUGAAACAUUUUUAGUAAACCUUCGACAUAUUAAAGAAAUACAAUAUGAAGCUGAACCUGGAGAAGUGCACAUUGGGGGUUGGAUCUGGAAAAUUCCUCGGGUUCAUGGUAUCUAAUCGAGGGAUCAUCCCGCAAAAUCAAAGCCAUAGAAGGCAUCACUGUGGUGAAUAACAUCAAGGUCAUUCAAAGGUUGACCGUGCGUACAGCCGCCCUGGGCCGUUUCAUAUCGAGGUCCUCAGACAAAAGCCAUUGCUUCUUCUCACUGUUGAAAAAUAAGAAUAACUUUUCGUGGACCCUAUAAUGUCAACAAGCUUUGGAAUAACUCAACCGGUACCUAUCAAGUUCACCCCUUCUCCACACUCUAAAGGCAGACGAAUAAUUGUACCUUUACUUGGCGGUUUUUGAACUGGCGGUAAGUGGAAUCUUAGUCAAGGAAGAGGAAGGUACGCAAUUUCCUAUUUACUAUGUUAGUAGAACUCUAGCCGAGGCUGAAAUAAUGUACCCUCACCUAGAAAAAUUGGUGCUCGCUUAGCUAAGCGCCACUAGAAAGUUAAAACCGUACUUUCAAUGCCACCAUAUGUGUGACGUAACCUCUUACCCACUAAGGUGCAUCAUGCACAAAUCUGAUCUCUCGGAUCGGUUGGCCAAAUGGGCUGAUAAAAUCAGCAGGUACAAUAUCGAGUAUUGACCCCCAAUCCCCAUAAAUUCAACUUUUGGCAGACUUCGUGGCCGACUCUACGCCGGCCUUAAUACCUGAAGUUGAAAAGUUAUAUUGCUAGCCUCGGGAUUACCUUGGGAAUUUGAACAGUUUUUACAAACGGUGCCUCGAACACAAAGGGGUAUGAGCUUAGUAUCGUGUUAAAACCAUGUACGAGGAAUAUAGUUAGGCAGUUUAAUAGAACUGUGAAAUUAACUAACAAUGAGGCCGAGUAUGAGGCCAUAAUUGCAGGUGAUCGAAGCUAAGUGCAACUCCCUCCUCAUGGUAAAUUAGUCAAUAGGUCGUUUGAAGUGAAAGAGGAACAGAUGCAAAAGUAUUUAGACAAAUGACAGGUAAUGCCGCAUCAAUUCAAGGAAUGUGCAUCACGUUCCUCGAGAUCAUAAAAGAGAGGCUGAUGCUCUAGCUAAUUUCGGAUCGUUGGUCGAUGUCGAUGAAUUAAGUUCGGGAACACUAGUACAACUCAUGAAUUCAGUGAUAGAAGAAGGACACACCGAAGUAAAAUCAACGAGUUUACCUUGGGAUCGGAGGAAAAAGUACAUAGAUUACUCAAAGAUCGGGAAUCACCCUCGGAUCCUAGAGAAUCGAGAGCCAUGAAUAUCAAGGCUGCAAGAUUUAGCUUGGUCAAAGGGACAUUAUUUAGGAGAACGUUCGAUGGCCCGCUGGCCAAAUGCUUGGGGUCGGGAUAUACCAAAUACGCCUUGAGAGAAGUUCAUGAAGGCACUUGCAGGAACCAUUUGGGAGAAGAAUCUUUGGUUCGAAAAUUAAUCAGGGACGGCUAUUACUGGACCGAAAUUUAGAAAGAUGCAAAGGACUUUGUACGAAAAUGCGACGACUGCCAGAGACACGCACGGAUUGGUCCAUCAACUUGGAGAGCUACUCCACUCAGUCUUAUUCUCGUGACCAUUUAUGAAGAGGGGAAUGGACAUCGUCGGUCCCCUACCUUGGGCACUCAGUAAGGCUCAAUUCACACUAUUCAUGAUCGAUUAUUUUUUCAAAUGGGUCGAAGCUCAAGAGUUCAAAAAGUCCAAGAUAAAGAAGGGAUUGACUUCAUCUGGGACGAAAUAAUAUGUCGAUUUGGGACACCGACCGAGGUCGUUUGAGAUAAUAGGAAACAAUUCAUUGACAGCAAGGUAAAUAGAUUCUUCAAAAAUCAAAAGAUCAAGAAGACACUGCCUACACCUUACCACCUUAGUGGGAACGGACAAGCAGAAUCAACAAACAAAACCAUACUUCAAAACCUAUGAAAGAGGUUGACCGAUGUCAAAGGGAAAUGGAAGGAAAUCCCGCUCGAGGUCCUGUGGGCAUACCGCAUGACCUCAAAGUCUAGUACUAGGCCACCCUGUUGUCGUUGGUUUAUGGGGUCGAAGCCUUAAUACCAAUAGAAGAGUCAAACGACGAGGCCAUAAUCACGAGCCGAAAACUAUUAGAUGAAAGGCGGAAGGUUUCUCGAGUCCGGUUGACCUCCUUGAAACAACGAAUAGAAAGAUAUUACAAUCGAAGAGACAACCUUCGACAGUUAAAGAUAGGUGACUUAGGGUUGAGGAAAGUGACAUUACACGCCCGGAACCCGAACAAGGGGAAGUUGGGCCUGAAUUGGGAAGGACCAUAUCGAGUCGUCAAAAUUAUCGGUAAAGACUCGUACAAACUCGAAGCAGGAAAUGGUGUGCAACUACCGAACAACUGGAACAUGACACACUUAAAGCGAUACUACUGCUAAGGUACAGACUCAAUUACCCUUUAAUCAUGUUAUGAAUCGGACUAACAUUUGCAGGCAAACGGCCAAGGAUGGAUGUAGCUAUUAGGUCUGAAAGCACACGUUUCACUUUUUUUUCCUUGAACAGAUUUUGUCCCACAACAAGGUUUUUAAAGAGGCAAUAGUAAAACAUACUAACUUAAAUUCAAAGAUCAGUCUCAAACCAGAGUCAAUGAUCGUUCACUUCAUAUCAAUAGUAUCGGAGCCCUCUCAAGCUCGACCUCAAAUGUUGGGGUCCAUUACCCUCGGACUAAGGUUUUUUGCAAGGAAAAAAGAAAAAUCUUAUAUGAUAGAAGCUAAGUCUUGGUGGUUAGGAUUAAUUCUAAGGGUCAAAUGGUCAGAUAAACCAUGUUUACAUAGUCCACUCUAGCCAUGAUACAAGUUUUUAUGUGUUUUUGAUCAUGUACUUUACACACUGAUAAAUGAAAGAAAGUUCCUCUUUGCUAUUACGCAUUUUCUUGCUUCUUCAAUUCCGGAUCUUAAGAGCCCACGGACUACCCCUACUCGGGGACUAUCUAGCCCAUGAGCUACCCCUACUCGGGGACUAUCAAUCCCAAGGGCUACCCUUACUCGGGGACUGUCACCCGAAGAAAGUUCGAACAACCGGGGCUAUCGAAUUCCGGAGGAACCAAACCUAUUAAGCAGUGCCCAAAUACAAAUGGCUCGGAGAUGUCUGAAGCUCAUUAUCAGAAAGUAAGACCUUUAUAAAAACUCUAAACCUACUAAAAGGUUACUCUUGGCAAAAGCAUUGUCUAAAAUCACUUAAACAUCUUGAAAACUUCCUGUCACACCGAGGUUUCAAAGCCUCAAGAAAAAAAGUUGUAUUGAACUCGGGCUCUGCUCGGACUUCCGAAAAAUGAAUGCCCCAUAACUAUAUUUGAUUAUAUGCUAAGGCAUCAAAAACAUUACAUGAAUAGAAAUUAUAAAAAGAGCCUGGAAAAGUAAAGACACGAUAUUUCUAGAAAGGGAAAAUUUCAUAUAUAUUUCGCAAUAUAUUUACAAAGGCCCAAUAAGAACAGCCUCAAAAUAAACAAAAAAAAAUAUACAUAAGAGAAAACAAAAAUAGAAAAAGUACUAAGGCAUCUAUGCCUGGUCUUCAUUGGGGCCCGAGUCAUCAUCAAAACUGUCGGAGCCAUCAGAACCCUCGGAGCCUUCGACACCCUUAGGCUUGCAAAGCUCCUUUUCCUCAGCCUCGAGCUUUUUGUCUUCCUCGAUCUCGACUGAAAGGUCGAAACCUUGAGUGUGGAUCUCUUCGAAGGUCUGUCUUUAGGCGAGUCUCAGCUGCCUCCACAUCGGCCUUAUAGUAGGCUACUAUUUCUUCGGCAUCAAUGGAGGUUAUGUCCAAUUUGGACUUCAGUGCCUCAUAUUCUCUACCGAGGGCAUCCCGCUUUGCGACGGCUGAGCUCAACUAUGCUCGAAGAUCAUCAUUCAGCUGAGACCAUUUGUCAGCUUUAUCCUUCAUCAACGGGUGUUGGUUCUCAACCGAUGCCACAUCCGCCUUUGCGGUUUCCUUCUCCGAAGCCAGCAGGUCCAUUUUACCAUUCCACCCUUCGGCCAUGGCCUCCUUAUUCUUCUCGGCUCAGUGCUGGCCAAUCAGGUCGAUCUUCUGUUAGACCUGCAAGCUUAUGUUGUUAGUCACCACACUAGCUCCUUGUUUUUAGCUUCAAAUACAUUUACCUUUUCAACUAGGUCAGCAUGUUCCCGCUUCAGGGUCGAAGCUUCCUUUUGAGCCUAGUCUUGCUCGGCAUGGAGGUCUUUGAGGGCCCGUCAUGUUGCUCACUGAAAAGCAUGUACAUGUCCUUCUUCCAGACCUGCUCUUUAAGCUCAAACUCGAGCCAGCUGAUUUCCAAGCGGUAUCGGAGGAAGAUCUCAUUGUGAAGUACUAAGGCAUGUAAAACAAUGAAAACAAUACAAGACAUCAAACUUAAGCGGAAUUCACAAGGGGUUGUAAGGGUGUUGAUGUAUAACCUGGUUCAUUGCCUGAUGCGCCUCGUUAAAAAGACUUGAAGCACCCACCUCAUUUAUCUUUGCCUAGUCCUCCUUGAUCACCAGGCAUUGGAGGUAGUCGACUACGUCUACUAGAGUAGAUAGGACCCGAGCAUCCUCCAGGACCGUAAGAAUGACCGUUCUCUUGUAGCUAGGAUCCAUGCUCGGUGUGGGAAACCGCUUCACCAGUUUUGGGCUCAAAUUCAGCCCGCCAGCACCUGAGGGCACGUCCUUCUUCGGGAUAUCCAGGUCGCCCAACCCGAAAAAAGUCCUCCAAUGAAGACAUGUCCAUACCAUCAAAAUAGGAGUUGAGGGGGUCAUCUGAACCCUGCACUCCCUUACUUGAUUUUUCUUUGCCCGCUUAGGCUUCCUCGAGCAUGGACUCAGUAGUAGGGCAUUUCUAUGAUUCCUAUGAAACCAGUCACCUCCUUAGGAACAAAAUCGGCUUCCUAGGAGGUCACAACCUCCAUCUCCCCCUCAGCUUCACAAUCCUGAAGAGGAUCAGCCUCGUGGCCCCUUUUAUCGAUCCUCGACUGCUCCUUGGUGGGGGUCGUUCCAUGGGUGAUGAAGAUGUCAUCUUCUUCGAGUUCAUCCCUGAGUCAGUAGAGAUAGCCAGGGUCUAGUGCCCUAGACUUGGUAUUCUUCUUGGGUUUCCAGGCCUGGGUGGCUACUCUUUCUUCCUCUUUCCCUCGGGGUCUAGGGAACCUGAGGACUUUCUCUUUUUCUUUUUCUCCUCCUUCGCGUCAGCCCCGACUGUCCCGAAAUGAAGGGCUCAAUAGGAAAAUACGGACCUUCAUCAUUAUCGAGCGGCCUAAGCUCAGUGGUCUUAGGCAUACCUACAAGAAAAGGGGAGAAGUUAACACUAUGUAAGUUAAAAACGUGAUGAUAACAAUUUAGGGAAGUUGCCUCACCAUGAGAACAUGACUCCUAUCUACCAUUUGAGAGCUUGCGCCAUGUGCGCUCAGAGUAAGGAAUCUACAUACAAAUCCCCUUGAUCCACUCCUUAUAGGGGAUUACAUUUGGAACUCGGGCAACGGCUGCACGACCACAAACAUAAGCGAUGAGAAAAAAGAAAUAGAAGGGAAGGAGUACAUAAGAAAGGCAGUACUUAUGGGAUGCGUUCCACUCCUCAGGGAACGGUAGAAACUCGGGGGGGGGGGGGGGGAGGGAAUCAGGUCUUCGGUCUUCACCCGAACGAACCACCCCUGCCAACCUCGAUCUCGGUCCUCGUCAAUGCUCGAGAAAGGAGCCUUGCUUGCUUGGCAGACAAAAUUGAUCUGUCCUCCUCGGAAGAUUUAGGGACUGUAUAAAUAGAGUAGGUGGUUGAGGGUGAAUCACCGAGACUCGGUGUUGUUUACGAAGCAGCGCAAUAGGAUCACAAUCCUCAAGAAGGAUGGAUGGAUUUGAUCGACACACACCUCAUAUCUCUUGUAGAAAGCAAGAACUAUGUGAUCCACAGGGGCGAGCGUAAAGGGGUAAGUGUAAACACUAAGAUACCCCUUCACAUGAGUGGUUGUAUCGUCACUGGGCCCAGGGACAACCACAUGUUUACCUUCUCACUUACAGUCCGCUCGAACUACGGGUAAGGCUUCUUUGGUGAUAGAGCAUAUGUAUAUCGAUGCCCCCUCACCCCAAUCUUGUUGGCUAGAGGCCUUCUCGACCUUGAAGUCAUCCCCGGUUGAGCAGCCCCGGGUAUAAAGCUUUUGAUGUGAUGCUCUGGGGCCACCUCGGGAGAAGCCACUUUGGCAUCUGCGGCCGAAUGGGAAGAUAAAGGGCAGCCUGCCGAGAAACUGAAUAGGAAGUUUUAGCCAUCAUGAUCAAGGAAGAUAUGAAGAUUUGAAGGAAAAGUAUAAAGGUUUGAAGAAAUAAGUAUGAAGGUUUGAGGAAAAGAGUAUGAAGAUUUGAAGGUGGGAUGAAGAUCUGGGUUAGAAGUCUAAGAAAAAAUAUGAAGAUUUGAAGAUCAGAGAUGAAGAUAUGAAGAUUUGAAAAAGUCGAAAGCCGCUAGAAAAUUUGAAGGUAAAAGCUAGGAUAAGAAAGUUAAAGAAGUAUAAAAGGUCGAAGCUUUUAUAGGGGAAAAUGUAAUCAAUACGCGACGUUUCACAUUCAAAGGAAACAAGUUGAUGAUCAACACGUGUCUAACGUCAGAAUAAUGCGAUUGAUGGGAUGUUUCAGGUUAUCCAUCAUCUCGGUUGUAAUGUAAGAAGGAAGGAAUAGGUUCAUCUAUCAUUUCCCAUCAUUUCGAUAAACCUACUCUCUAGUAAAUGAGGGGACUAUUAGUAAAUGGGUGAAACUGGGAAUAACACACACUCCAAUUUCCCGAUGAGUCAAACGAAGAAAGGGUAUGAAUACAUGGGAUCGAAAUAAAAGCUGGGAACUUCUUGUACCGAGGCUCGAAUGGAGUGCUCACCAUUGGACUUGAUAAAACAACACGUCCUAGACCUAGGAUGAGUUCUGAGACUUGGGGAAGCGCAUGAACGGUGGUAGGAGAUAGAUUGAAGGUUGUGAUAUUCAGAACUAACCGGAUAUCAUGGCGCGGAUCUCGCUUUAUGGUAGUUACAAAUCAGUAAUUAACGAGAGAGGACUUUUACCUUUUUUAGACUUGUACUAGGUGUGAAACUCUCCUACUAUAUAAAGAAAAAGUUUUUUCUUUGAUAACAUGCGUUGUAACAUGCAAACCAACGCAAUACAAAUUCAUUUUUCUGCUUUCUAGCUAUUGAAAAGUUCUUAUUUUAUUGUUGUUCUUCAUAUACAUUUGCCUUCGAACCAAGGGUCCUAUCGAGGGCAAAAUCCAAGUUCAGCCGUAACAUUACAAUUGAUUUGGUUAUCCACUUAGUAUUUAAAUCGUUUAUCUAAUAUUCUUGAUUAUUUGUAUUGAAUUAAUCUAUGUAUCUUUAAAACCACGUAUAAAUUCAAUUGUUAUCCGUUUUAAGGGUAAAUAUUUUUUUUUGGGGGGGGGGGGGUUUCUUUUUUCAUAUGUUGAUAAAAUACAGAAUUAAUGUUCUAGUGUAACAGCAAGUAUCGCAGCUCAGCAUAAACUUGAUAAUUUACUCAAUUUGAUUCAUAUUAUUUGUAUUUUACUGAAGAGUUUAUUUCUAAAAUAUUCUUCAUCUUAACAUUUCACCUAAUUAAUAUUUAGUAACUGAUAGAGUGUCCUUGAACAAAGUGGUUGAGGGAGUUUUUCCAACACCACUAGGUCUGGAAAAAAUAGUUUCUAAAUAACAAAUUUUGUAAAACAAACUCAAUCUGUCAAAAGUUGAUGUUUGAUAUGGGAGGAAUUAUAACUUUUAUCCAUUUUUAUUUAAUGGAAUGAAUAGUGCAAGGAUAUUUUAUAGAAACACCUAAUGAAUCCCAUAACCACAAAAUUUUAUCUCUCUAAGUAUUUGCUCUCCGUACAAUACUAUUAUUACCAUCUCAACGUUCGGAUUUCCAUCGCCCUUCCAUGGGCUCGCCGGACGGCAAUCCGCCGGCAACUGUAAUCAUUUUCACAGACCCAUCAAUUAAGGUGAGUCCUUCUGGGAAAGAAUCGGAGGUGAACAAAAUCCACUUAUACCACAACUUUAACUGAUUGCCCAGGUUCCUCUGCGACCCAAUUUCGCCAAGAACCCCAACACGUCAAAGCUAGAAGGACAACUCACAAUGGAAUAUAUGCAGUCAUCUUUAAGACUAGAGAUUAUUAUGGAGUUAUGGCGUGUCAAUGUAAGCGAACUAUUGUGAGCCGAUUUUUGAAAAAUAAAACCUCAAAUCGACAUCAUAAGAUCUAGAUUUUCAAAAAAAUUAUCUCUUAAAGGAAGCGUGAAGAUAGGCAUAUAUGACAAUUUUAAUGUGUUUCUAAGCUUCACAAACAACAAAUAUUAUAAUUUAAUUUUCUACAAAAGAAUGAUUGAAAUUGCAGGGCUUCAAAUGUGGUUAUAGAGGUGGACACCUGAUUUUAAGCCCGAGAAAGAUCUCCAUAUUGCUUUGGUAUGAGCCUUACUUUCAGGUUUGCCUUUCCAUAUGCAUAAUUAUUUUUAUAUAAAAUAAAUUGUUAUUGAUGUUGGAGUCUCUCUAGAAUUGGAUAUUGCGACUAAAACUCUCAACAGACGUAGUGUGGCAAAAGUUAGAAUUGAAAUUGAUUUAUUAAAGACGUUGAUUACUAGUGUUUGGGUAGGGGAUGAGGAUGAAGAAUCUCCAUUAAAAGGGUUUACUCAGAAAAUAGAGUAUGAGAAUAUUCCUAAAUUCUGUAAGAAUUGUAGGAAAUUAGGACAUAAUUUGAAAAACUGCAGAGUCCUAGAACGAAAGAAGAAUGAGGAGGAAAAAGGGAAGGAUUAAAAACUGAAGGAGAACAAUAAGAACUAAAAUACUUCAACAAAGACUGAAAGUAAGAAUUCACAAGAAUCAUUUUAGGCUUCUCUACAAGAGGAAGAAAAAAACAUGUACUUGUUAAGGAUAAGGCCAUUACCAAAAGGGUAAAGAGUGAACCUCCUAAGAACUUUAGACCUACCAGAGUGAUUUAUGGGGUUGACAAACCUUUACCUACUUUAGAGCCUAUUACCAAGAUUAGUACUACAUAUGUUAUUAAGGUCAAUGACGCCAAUGAAGAAACUGAGGAGAAGAAUGAAAAUGCAAAGAAAAAAAUGCUAGGAAUAUACCCCAAAGCCUAAUCAAAAUGAUGACACACAAAAUGACAACAACAUGAGUACUGAUUAUAUUGAGAAAGUUGGGAGAAGGAAUGUUGAAUCAAAGUUGGAUACAAGGGACACCACAAAGAAUAAUGAAACAAGUGACCUACAAAUUGACUCAGUUGGGCAAGAAUGACAAGAAGCUAAAAGCAAAAAAGUCAAAAAAUAGGAUGAGCAGAAUGGAAAAGAUGAGCAAUGUUAUUUGCAAGAUCAACAAGGUUAGAAAACUACUACUACUCAGAAUAGUUUUGAAAAAUGAGAAAAUACAUAAGUUACCCAUCAAACUUGUCCGGAAAAAUCAUUUACACACCUUAACUUUACGGGCGACCUAUGUCCCCCUUAUUUUUGUUUGAGGUGAAUUUAAUAUCACCCUAAAUGGUGACGUAGUAAAGGCAGUAGUUUCAUUCUCCCAAACUCGCGUGUAAGAGGGAAAGGAUUAAAAAUAGACAUAUAUUUUUACCGUGUGCGUCCCUUUUUCUUUUACUUCUUCUUUUCUUAUUUUUUGGUCUUUUUAUUUUCUCUCUCUACCUUUUCUUUUUCCUGUCACCAUUUCCCUUUUUCCAUCCAAGAUACUUUUGUAUCUCCAUUNNNNNNNNNNNNNNNNNNNNAUAUAUAUAUAUAUAUAUAUAUAUAUAUAUAUAUACUAGACUAAAAAAUCCUAUUUUUAUAAUUUAUUUCUUGUAAUAUUUCAUUGAAAAAUAUUGAAUAAAUAAUGUAAUCUGGCCUGUUUGGAUAUAAAUUUUGCCGAAGCUUGAGGGAUUUUAACUGACUGAAAAGUUUGGAAUUUGUCAGCUUCAUUUUUUCGAAGAGGAAUUUUCCCGUACUUUUUAAAGCUGAAAGUGUUGGAUCUUCCAUGGUGGUGUAGGUGGUGAUGAAGAUGACACGGAAAAAAAGAGUUAAAAAAAGUAACGAAAUAAGUGGGAAAAAAUAAAGGAGCUUUUGACAUGUGGCGCGCGUGUACUAUACAUCCCACCACAAGACUGACUAUGUGUUACCAAUGGGAUAUUAAAUUCAUCCCAAACUAGAAUAGGGGGAACAUAGGUCGCCCGUAAAAUUAAGGUGUGUAAAUAAUUUUUCCUAACAAGUUUGAUAGGCAUUUUAUGAAUUUUCUCUUGAAAAAUCAAGGGAGGAAGAAGUGGAACAAAAACAAAACAAGGAUAUGGAGGAACUUUCUCAGGAAGUGAAACAAAAAGAUAAGCCUAAUGAGAAACCUAAUGAUGAAUUGGCUGAUGCUAGCUCCUCAGAUAAUAAUACCUCAGAGGAAUCCUCAGAUAGGCAAGAUGAAAUUUUGAUCCACAAUAUGGUAGGAUCUCCUUCUCAUAAAUAGAAGACCAGCACCGACCAAAGUGAUAUGAAAGGGAGGGAAGAUCCUCAGUACAAGAAACAUUACAAAGUCAAAGCUAGGCACAAGAUCAGAGAGUCCCCUAUUACUAGAGGACAAAAAUUUAACUCCCAAAAAACUUCUGUUAACCCUUCUGAUGAUUAGAAUCCUCAAUUGGAAUAUAGUUUGUGUGAAAUCAAAAGCAUCUACUGAAAGGCUUAAAAGUAUGAUUAAACAACACAGAGUCUCCCUUGUGGUCAUUCAGGAACAUUUUGUGAAGGAGACCAAAAUUAAUUCUUACAACCUAAUUCUGGGCAUGCAAGUGUCAUGAACCAAACUGAUGGGCGCCAACGGGCACCCGGUACCUUACUUAACUGAGUACCUACGUAACGUAUAUUUCGUAUCAUACUAUCAUAGGUAAAUGAGUCAGAGAGGCUAUCGUGAGAUAAGUAGAAUAAAACAUGGGGAAAUACUCAACAUUGGACGACCCAACAUGUAAUCUAAACUUAUACGUAUGACGUACGGGCCUAUAAGGCUGACAUGAUCCUUUAUAUACUCAAAACUAUGCCGAUAGGGCCAUACAAGAAUCCGUAUACAUGAUAUCAGUCUACAAGUCUCUAAAAAUACAUUAUAUCAUAAAGGUCGGGAUAGAGCCCUAUCAUACCAAUCGAUGCACGUACUAAUCAUACUGACCAAAUAAGCAACUUCGGAGCAAAUGGCGCGCACCAACAUCUUUCGCUGAAGCUAAUAGCCUACUUGGAGGACUCUUAACCUGUCUAUCAGAACUUGUGGGCAAGAAACACAGCGUCCCCAGGAAAAAGGGACGUCAGUACAAAUAAUGUACCGAGUAUAUAAGGAAUGGAAAUCAGUAAACAAUAGACAUGAGAGAAACAUGGAGUAAAAGACUCGACAUGUAAGUUUGAAUAGCUCUAUGAAUCCUUUAAUAUUUAAAAAUGGCAUGCAUAUGCAUAUAAAUGCCAUACCAUGCAUGGGUAUAUACGUUCAUAACAUCAUCAAGCCUCUGAGGGCAUCACAUCAUAUCAUCUCGACCACUGCGGGCAAAUCAUCAACGUAUACCGGCUGAUCAAAUGGUGGUGCGUAUAUAACACUGUAACUUUUUCUCAUAUCCCAUAUACAUAUAUAUACAUAUAUACGCGUAUAUAACGCCAUAUGAUCAUGGGUCAAUGUACAUGAAUGCAAUACAUGAGAAGUACGUCAAUAAAAUCUCUUAGAAAGUCAUAAGACCAUUAUGCCUUUGAGUAAUAUCAUAAAGUAAACUUUUUUCAACUUCCAUAUUUUUCUGAGACCCAUGAACAAAUGAUAGAAUAAUAUGACACAUGCGGAAUCAAGAACAUAAACAUCUCUAGUAUUUUUAUGAAUAGAGUCAUUUAUAGAAAUUUCGUAUUUGCUCAUUUCGUUUGUGUCGUAUAGAUCAUGCCAAAAGAAAGAAGGGAUAGCCUUAACAUACCUGAAUCGAUUCUCUUAACAAUCCUUAUAACACAUGCCAAUCACGACGAAACACAUAACAACGAAACCGAAAUAGGGAACAAUCCGUAUGAUAUUCUUGAGAAAGAUUGCAUUGUACUCCCUUAGAUCUGAAAUUCCACAUUGCUAUUACGCGAUAAUUCCAUAUGAAUUUGUUGCUGAAACUCCACCCAUUACAAAGUAGAUAUAAAGCAUUUACAUGCAUUUUGUGGCUCAAAGAAAGGUCUUUUAAUAUAAUUCUCCAACAAGAAUGAGAUAGGAUGCCCAUAUCUUUAAAGUCUUGCAACCACCUCCUUAAUCACUUAAUUAGGUGGAAAGUUGCUGCCAUAAUUCUACAAAUCCACGUGGAAGUAGUGUCCCUAGUGAUUAUUCAAAAUGUCAUAUAAUUAUUUAUCUACAAAAUUCAAUUUACAAGUUAAUUUCCCACUAAAAAAAUCCAUAAUUACUCAAUUAUUCACAUUAUAAAAAAUUAUGUCAAAUUACUUAAAAUGCUACUCUCUUUUAACACACUUUAUACAUCUUACUAUCAUGGUUAUGUGGUACAUUGUAUGGUACUAGUCCAUAAAUACGAUAGCUUGGACUGCAUUUUAUCCCAAAAAAGUUAAAUUUUGACGAAACUCAUCUUGUUCGAUUUGCUUACCCUCUCAACUUCAAGAUUUUACUCAUUACUUGUUUGAAAUAGCAUAAUCCUUAUAAUCUCAAAAUAAUCUCAUUCCCAAACUUACGUUGAUUAACUUACGACGAAAUUUCAAUGUUAUGAAAAUGCAGGAUGUAACAUCAUUCCCCCCUUUGGAAUAUUUGUCCUUGAAUGUUGACUGAUGCACUUAUCAUUAUCAUAACCCAUAGUUCUUAUGAAUACUUUAGUACUCCUCUUUCCAUCUAGGCAACUAUUUUGUGGAUAAUUCUAAAGGCUAGGGCAUCCCCCUUUUAAGCCUCUUUUUCACACCAUGACUUGUGGUCGGAAUCCUUCCAAUCUUGUAACUGUUGCUACCUUUUAUCAUGCAGACUGUAUGACAAAGACUUUGUGAGUGCAUCUAUGCGACUCCUCUCCUUUUUGUUCCCGCUACUAGCCAAUCUCUAAGCCUCACUUUGUGAACAUGUACUAAAUAAUGUCAAGUUGUCCCUCUGAGCGUCAUUAACUUUACUACAUCUAAGUAGGUCAUACUAUACCAUAACUCUUACUUGGAUUUAUCGUUAUUGAGGUUUGCUACCAACUCCUGGUUACUCUCGUUUCUUAUCCUUAAGACGGAUGACCUAAUCUCAUCUCAUACUUUGUAAUUUUUAUCCAUCCCUUGUUGAUUCACCUCAGUAUUGAUCUAUUAUCUACCAUUGAUAACUUGAGAUCUUAUGUAACACAAACGCUAAGGCUCACGUCUUAUCGGUGAACAUCUAAAAUGAUUGGACUGAUCUACCUGGGGGCGAUACCAUGCUUCCAUAACCGUAUUUCAUAGUAUCCCAAUGUGAUUCACCUUACUUGGGUAUUUUAAUCCCGUACAAUUCGAGAAAUCCUCUUCAAGUCAUUACUCAAUGGAAUGCCCAAACACCAUUCUUUAUCCAUCACAAUUACACCCUCAUUCUACUACCCGGGCAACAUUCCAUUUCUUCUAAAUAUCAUUAGUCUUAGACUCCUUUGAGUUCAUUCAGGCUAUACUAAGCUUUGUAUAACUUAGAGAAACCAUCAACUCUUCUUGUUUUCAUGGGCUUAAUCCUGAUGAUUUUUCCAUUCUCGUCCCCUUCUCACUCGCCCUUUCUUAUCCUUACUCAUGUCUUCCUAAUACCUUGUCGCUUUACUAUACUUUAGUUUGCCACUUACACAUAUCCAUUUAUACUACUCGCAACAUCCCUUCAACUUGCUUGCACCAUAGAUUUCCUUAUGUUAUUUUUGGAAUAUCAAGCGAGACACCGCAUUGUCUCAAACUCUUCUUUACUCUUUUAAUUUAGACCUCUCGAUACCUAGAACCCAUAGGCUGGAAAAUAUGCAACUAACGACGCUGCUAUCAUUCUUGAAUAUAGUAUCCCAGUACUUCUAGCCUUUUGUUCGAAGCAUGGACAAUUCACAAUCUUUUGCAUUUGAGUAUCUUGUACGUUGUUCACAUUUACCUUACUUACCUUAAAAAUCUUGCAUCACAUCUUCUAUCUCUUUCAUGACCUCCCUUCAAUAUAGGUAUGAUUCGCAUCCACAACUUGAAGCUCUAUUAUAAUCCUCGCAUAUCCUUACACAAUCCGGUGAGAGUUUCAAACUGACUUCUUAUGAGGUUGGUACCCUUUUAACUGGUUUUAUGUAGGCUUAAGCUAUCUUCUGAUCUGCGGCUCAUGGAAUUUAGUUAUUACUUUAACCUUUCAUGGAUGCUAUCGAAAACCAUUGUACAAUCUUUUAAUGAUUCAAUCAUUUGUCUAUGACCAGGAUCCAAUUCCUUCUUUUAACUCAUACCGAAGUCUUUUGCGGCUGAUCAUUAAUUGAAUAAUUCCUUUCGUUCCAUUUCAACUUUCUUCAAAUGUAAGCAAUUGCUUUUCCUAGUCUUUUUGCCCCUUGUUGCGUGCAUACUUAGCUUAUCUGAGUUCUCACACGUGCCAAAAUUUUUGUGCAACUCAUAUGGUCUCGAAUGUUACUUUUGGUUUUACUCCCCGCUCAUUAGCCAUGGCAGGUUCCACUUUCUUUUGGAGUGCAUAUAAUUUUGUAGUGAGACUAUUAUUACACAACCAUUUCCUCCUUAGGUUACUGAGCUUAGGUUGAAUCCUUCUUUCUUAUUUUCUCAGCUAGUCUUUCAUUAUAGUACUUAGGGAGGAUCCUCUGACUCUUGUAAAGUUGCGAGCUUAUCACAUUGUAUGCUUGACGGAAUUUUUGAUGUUCUUCCUCGCCUAUAAUUAUCUGUAGUUACUUAUCUCCAUGCCCUUGUUCCUGUAGGGUUGCUUCUGAACUAAUAUUUUGACUGACUUCCCAUGGUACUCUUUUUUGUUUCCGUAACACUCAUACGGUAUCUUUAUCUACCCCCAACUCCUAUCUAAAUAUUUCUCAAGGAUCACGAAGUCAUAACUGCGAGGCUGAGUUCCCCAUGUUGGGGUUCCCUUUGUUUAUCUUGCACGAUCUGUUGAUUUGUUUGUAUCCUCUUGUCUAGCCAUAGCUAGGCUCUUCCUGAAUCAACUACUAACUACUCAUUGGCCCAUUCCUGUAUCAAUAUUCCGCAUAAUCUUUCUUGGGUUGUUUGCUUUGUCUUAACUUACCUCUCAUACUGGCUCUUUAUUAAUCAAUAACAUCUCGGGCAGGAACCCUUACUUUCUCUCCUUGACGUCAUGUUUGCAAAAUGUUCUGGAAUUGCAGCAUACCUGUAGGAUAUGGAUAAGUUCAAUCUUAUCCCUUUCUCAGUCUUAUCGCAUCAUUCCUUUAUUAUUCCAUAGUUACUACAACCACUUAAUUCCGACUUAAUGCCACAUCACUCCAUAUUCCCCCUUUAGGGAAGCACUAAGAUUUAGCGCUGCGAUGAUCUAUGUAUAGAUGUUUUACCUCUUUGGCAUCUUUUCACAUCAUCGAUGACUCGUACUCGUCUUGAGGUAAUCCUUCUGCACUGAGGAUAACAAAAUUCCUUACUCGCAAGGGUGACACUUAGUGUAACUGGCACACUUGGUCCUUUAAGCUUAACUUUGAUCACGUUGCUUGCUUUAGAAAAGCGUCUUUCUGAAUAACCUUUAAGGGUUAUUCUUCUAUCGUUCAUUCUUUUAUCGUCGAAAUGCAAUCUGAAAUUCUCAUGGUGCAGACUAUUAUCAAAUCACUCAGUCCCUAAUUCAUGUUUAGUUUACCUUGUUCACUAGCCCAUACUGAUUUCUUAUUACUUUGGGGUCUAAAUUUUCCUUCUAGUAAUCACGUUAGAGUCGCGAACUUAUUUUUUUGAAAUGAGGAUAUGACUUUAUAGCCUAUACUCUUUGGUUGUCUCAAGGCCUGUCACUUCUCGUUUUUUCCUUCACUUGACUAUAGACUCUAUAAUACUUUCAUAUUUGUUUUUUUGAUCUAUCGUUGUCAUCCAUGUAUCACAUCUUACUCAUAAUGCUUCAUUAACUCUCUUCUUAUUUCCCACUAACAUCUAUGUCUAAUACUUUAUUCUGAAAACUCGAACAAGACAUUCUUUUGCUUUUGCUCCCCUUGCUCCAUCCAUUGGCUCUUCGAAUUGCCUAACAUUCUUUCCCCACUAGGGACGGGAGCCACACUAAGGUAAUAUUUAUCCCUUCAAGGAUUCCAGUGCCUAUCUUUGUAGUAUUCAUAUCUAGCUGUACAAUUUUAGAGUGCACCACCUGGGUGUCUCAGAAGGAGAUCUAUUAGCACAUUUGCAAUAUCCUUUGGAAAAGUCAACUAACGCAAAUAAUCUAUCCGCCAUUUUGGGUCACUCUAACCCCAGUAGGAUCCUGAUAUCUGUCCUUCUCUUAUAUACUUCUGUUAGCCCCCAUAAGGCAUAAUUAAAAUGCGUGUGACCAAUUGCACAUACCUCUGUUACUGUUGAAGAUUAGCUCAAAAUGCUUAUAUUUCUCUGCCUGAUUUAAAAAUACUGAUAAUCUCCAUUAACUGGGUGCCUCAUACCCUUCUUCACCUUGCUUCUUUUACUUGUUGAACUUUCAUCUAGCUUCUGAAUUUCUCAUUGCUUUUCACCAUAUUGGUGGAUAGAUAUCCUUGCCUUAAGGCUCCUUGAAGCUUACACUUUUUAGUAUACACAUGAUCUGCUGAAGGCCUCACAUUGACUCAUCAUAAGCAUCAUGUAGAAUCGAGUUCCUCUAGCUCAACUCUUCCAUAGCCACAUGCAAUUUUUUGCCAAUCUUCUUUCUGGAUGUAGGCAGCAUCGUAUUAUGAAUAAAAUAGAGUUUAGGAAAUUGAGUUCUUACAACUGAGCUCUACCACACGAUCUAGAGUAAGCAAAAAGAGUGACAGUCCUAAAUGCCCUAUAGCCUCCUGCUUAUAAGUGUGGUGCAUGACACACCCAUAAAUAAGACUCUACUAGGUGUGGCUUUUAGACUCCCUAGGACAGAACUGCUCUGAUACCACUUUUGUCACGACCCAAAUCGAUGGGUCACAACGGGCACCCGGUACCUUACUCAACCGAGUACCUACGUAACAUAUCUUUCGUAUCAUACUAUCAUAGCUAAAUGAGCCAGAGAGGCUAUCAUGAGAUAAGUAGAAUAAAACAUGGGAAAUGCUUGACAUUAGAUGUCACGACCCUAAAACCGACCCGAUCGUGAUGGCGCAUAUCAUGAAACUAGGCCAGCCCACACGAAUCCCAAAUCAAACCAGUAUUUCAUAAAAGUCAUUUUUAAGCUAUUAAAUUAAUAGAAUCUCAAAACAUAAGUCUAAAUAACUAGUGCGGAAGAAAAUAACACAAGCCCGACAUCGGGGUGUCAUAAGUCACGAGUAUCUACUAAGGUUUGAAAUACAACAAAGAGUCUAAAAUAUACUAAAAACAGUCUAAGGAAGAUAAGAGGGAGAAGAGCAGGGCUGCGAACAUUAGGAAGCUACCUUGCUAACUCCGAUGAACCUGCCACUAAGUAAUCAACACCCACUAGCGGGUUUAGAAAUACCUGAAUCCGCACACAAGGUGAAGGGAGUAAUGUGAGUACGCCAACGCAGUAAGUAAUAAGAGUAAAUAACGGCUGAGCAGUAAGAAAACACAUAAUCCACGUCAUAACACCAUAGUAAGUACAGUGUGUUUCCAAAACAGUAUAUAUAUAUCAAAUCAUUUCGUUAAAAAUCUAGUUUUCGGUAGAAAUCAUUUAAAGAUGUGUAAAAAUCCAUUUAAAACAUCUUUCAGCAGUUUUCAAACAAGUGAUGAAACAAUAAGUAGAAAUGAUGAAAACAUAGUUGGCCCCUCGGGCAGAAACUCACUCGUAUACAGCCCCUCAGGCAAAAUGAAUCAUAAACCACCCCUCGAGCAAAAAUCUCAACAGAACCAGCCCCUCGGGCUACCUCACAAUCACUCAUAAUCAGUCCCUCGGGUAAAAACAUAAAUGAAAAACAGCCCCUCGGGCCACAUCACAUCACUCACAGUAGUACCCGCGCUCACUGGGGGUGUUCAGACUCCGAAGGGGCUCCUAUAGCCCAAGCACUAUAACAAGCGAUCUCGUGGCAUAAUCAAUCAGGUCCUCGGCCUCAUAUAACAAGCCACCUCGUGGCAUAAUAAAUCAGGCCCUCGACCUCUCAUAUACCAUAAAUCAGUACAACAUGUUGUGACGUAAAGCCCGAUCCCAUGAUAUCCUCACGCCUCACUCAGUCAGAAACCCCUCGGGCUACAGUAAAACAGGAUGCUCAGUAGAAAUAUCAUUUAUGCAUCAAAUUAGGGUAAAUAAGACUGAGUUAUGAAAUCAGUAAAACAGAGCAUGACUGAGUAUAGUUACUAAAACAAAACAGGGAGGAAUUUCAGUAAAGGCAACCCCUAAGGGUCUAAACAGUUGGCACGAGGCCCAAAUAUGGCAUCCAGUCCAAAACAUAGUAUUGCUUUCUAAAACACAAUAGUAUCAAAUAAUUUUCAAUCAAAUACGCGACAUAAUAGUCGUACGAGACAGACCAAGUCACAAUCCCUAACAAUGUACGACCCCACGCUCGUCAUCUAGCAUGUGCGUCACCUCAAAGUAGUGAAACGAUGUAAAAUUCGGGGUUUCAUACCCUUAGGACAACAUUUACAAUCAUCACUUACCUCAAACCGGACGAAAAUCAACACCGCGAUGACCUUGCCGCUCGACUCGGUGUCAAAUCAUCCCGAAUCUAUCCAAAAUCAGAAUCAUAUCAUCAAUACAUGCUAAAGGAACAAGGCCCAUGCAAAAAUUGUCAAAUUAAAUUAAAAUUUCCGAAAUUGGCCAAAUCCGACCCCCGGACCCACAUCUCGAAAUCCGAUAAAAAUCACAAAACUACAAUCCUUAUCCUCUUACGAGUCUGUAUAGACCAAAUUUAUCAAAAUCCGACUCUAUUUGACCCCUCAAGUCCUCAAUCAAACUCUCAAAAAAUCCCAAGCCCUAACCCCUCAUUUUCACCCCUAAUCUUCAUAAAUUACAUGAUUAAACAACGGAAAAUCAUCACAUAUAUGAGUAUUAGGGCUCAAGCCACUUACCUUACUGAUAAACCCUUGAAUUCCUCCUCAAAAUCGCUCUUAAAAGCUCCAAAGCCGACUAAAACGGUGGAAAAUGAAACAAAAUUUACGAAGUCUAGAAUUUAUACUUUUUGCCCGGAGGUACCGCAUAUGCGGUCAAAAAUGUUGCUUAUGCAAUGUCGUACCUAUGGAAAAUCCACCGCAGGUGCGGUUCCCACUUAUACCCUCAGAAACUGCUUCUGCAAUCAGAACACCGCACCUACGGCCUCGCUGGUACGAUAAAAUAUCCGCACCUGCGAUCAAGCUUCAACCGGUCCAAAACCGCAUCUGCGGCCUUCCUCACGCAUCUGCGACCUCGCACCUGCGGUCCCCAAUCCACAGGUGCAAAAAUGACAGAAGCACAAAAUCUGCACCAACACUCAAAGCUAAACUUCCCGUCAACCACUCAAAUCCAUCUCGAGGCCCUCGAGAUCUCAACCAAACAUGCCAACAAGUCACCUAUCACCUUUCAAACUUAUUCCAACCUUCGGAACACUCAAAACAACAUUAAAACAUCAAAUCACCCUCAGAUUCAAACCUAAGGAUUUCCAAACUUUUGAAUUCUACAAACGAUGCCAAAACAUCUCAAAACUCAUAUGAAUGACCUGAAAUUUUUCACACACGUCACAAAUGACACAACGGACCUACUCAAAUUAUCAGAAUUUCAUUCCGACCCCGAUAUCAAGAUUUCCACUGCCGACCGGAAAACGCCAAAUUUCCAAUUUCACCAAUUCAAGCCUAAAUCUACCACGGACCUCCAAAUUGCAUUCUGAACACGCUCCUAAGUCCAAAAUCACCCAGCCGAGCUAACCAAAUCAUAAAAAUCUAAAUCCGAGAUCGAAUACUAAAAAGUCAAGAUUGGGUCAAACUUUCAAAUUUAAAGCUUCAAGUUGAGAAUCAUUCUUCCAUAUCUAUUCCGAUUAAUCUGAAAGCCAAAGCCAAUGAUUUACAUAAGUCAUAAUACAUCUUACAGAGCUAGUCAUGCCCGAGAACUGGAGAGCGAAGUGCAAAUGCUCAAAACGACCGUUCGGUCAUUACAUUGGACGACCCAAUAUGUAAUCCAAACUUAUGCAUAUGACGUACGGGCCUAUAAGGUUGACAUGAUUUUUUUAUACUAAAAACAUAGGCCGACAGGGCCAUACAAGAAUCUGUAUACAUGACAUCUGUCUACAAACCUCUAAGAAUGUAUAAUAUCAUAAAUGUCAGGACAGAGUCCCGCCAUACCGAUCAAUGCUUGUACUAAUCAUACUGACCAAAUAAGCAACUUCGGAGCAAAUGAAGUGUACCAACAUCUUUCGCUGAGCUGAUAACCUACUUAGAGGACUCUCGACCUAUCUAUCGGGACCUGCGGGCAUAAAACGUAGAGUCCCCAAGCAAAAAGGACAUCAGUACAAAUAAUGUACCGAGCAUGUAAGGAAUGAAAAUCAAUAAACAAUAGAUAUGAGAGAAACAUGGAGUAAAAGACUCGACAUGUAAGUUUGAAUAGCUUUAUGAAUCCCUUAAUAUUUAAAAAUGACAUGCAUAUGCGUAUAAAUGCCAUACCAUGCAUGGGUAUAUGCGUUCAUAACAUCAUCAAGCCUCUGCGGGCAUCCCAUCAUAUCAUCUCGGCCACUAUGGGCAAAUCAUCAACGUAUACCAGCUGAUCAGAUGGUGGUGCGUAUAUAACGUCGUAACCUUUUCCCAUAUCCCAUAUACAUAUAUAUACAUAUAUACGCAUAUAUAACGUCAUCUGGUCAUGUGUCAAUGUACAUGAAUGCAAUGCAUGAGAAGUACGUCAAUAAAAUCUCUUGGAAUAUCAUAAGACCAUUAUGCCUUUGAGUAAUAUCAUAAAGUAAACUUUUUUCAACUUAUGUAUUUUUCUAAGACCCAUGAACAAAUGAUAGAAUAAUAUGACACAUGAGGAAUCAAGAACAUAAGCAUCUCUAGUAUUUCUAUGAAUAGAGUCAUUUAUGGAAAUUUUGAAUUUGCUCAUUUCGUUUUUGUCGUAUAGAUCAUGCCAAAAGAAAGAAGAGAUAGCAUUAACAUACCUGAGUCGGUUCUCUUGACAAUCCUUCUGACACACGUCAAUCGCGAUGAAACAAGUAAUGGCGAGAUCGAAAUAGGAAACAAUCUGCAUGAUAUUCUUGAGAAAAAUUGCACCGUACUCCCUUAGAUCCGAAAUUCCCACAUUGCUAUUACGCGAUAAUUCCAUAUGAAUUUGUUGUUGAAACUCCAUUCGUUACACAGUAGAUAUAAAACAUUUCCAUUGCAUUUUUGUGGCUUAAAGAAAGGUCUUUUAAUAUAAUUCUCCAACAAGAAUGAGAUAGGGUGCCCAUAUCUUUAAAGUCUUGCCACCACCUCCUUAGGCACUUCACUAGGUGACAAUUUGCUACCAUAAUUCUACAGAUCCACGUGGAAGUAGUGUCCCCUAGUGAUUAUCCAAAAUGUCACGUAAUUAAUUUUCUAAUAAAUUUAAUUUAUAAGUUAAUCUCCCACUUAAAAAUCUAUAAUUACCCAAUUAUUCACAUAAUUAAAAAUUAUGUCAAAUUACUUAAAAUUCUACUCACUUUAACACAUUUUAUACAUCUUAAUAUCAUGGUCAUGUGGUACCUUAUAUGGUACUAGUCCAUAAAUAUGAUAGCUUGGACCGUAUUUUAUCUUAAAAUGUCAAAUUUCGACGUAACUCAUUUUCUUCGAUUUGCUUACCCUAUCAACUUCACGAAUUUACUCAUCACUUGUUUGAAAUAGCAUAAUACUUAUAAUCUCAAAAUAAUCUCAUUUCCGAACUUACUUCGAUUAACUUACGACGAAAUUUCAACUUUACAAAAAUGUGGGAUGUAACAGCAAGGAUGUUAUGCUAAUUGUAGUAAUAAAAUUUGGGUUUUCUGGGAUUUUGGUAUGAAUUGCACUAUCUAUGCAGGUGAAGAUAAGAUUGUUACUUGUAGAAUCAUCAACAAUUCCGAUGAUAAAGAUAGAAUCAUCAACAAUGCGAUGAUAAAGAAUACUUUAUAUCAGUGGUGUAUGCUAAGUCGAAGUCUGUUUGGCAGAGAAUAUCUCUAGGAGUAUAUGAGGAGUAUUGCCUUUACUAUUACAGCUCCAUGGUAGUAUGUGGUGAUUUAAAGAGCAGUUUAGCAGUAGAAGAGAAAAUAGGGGGCGAACCACAUAGACUUAACAAGAGUAUCCCUUUUAUGGAGUGUAUUCAUGAUUGUGGUCUGAUGGAUAUUGGAUACUCUGGGAGCAAAUUCACAUGGUGCAAUGAGAGGAAGAAAGAGGAGAUUAUUUGGAAAAGUCUGGAUAGAUUGGUUGUCAAUAACAAUUGGAGAGGGCAGUUUUCUUUAAUUGAGGUCCUACGUCUUCCUAGAGUCAGCUCAUAUCACUGUCCUAUUUUAAUUUUUUUAAAGAAAUACCCAGGAGGAAUACAUAAAAUACUUUAUGUUUCUCAAUUUAUGGGUUGAUCAUGAUGACUUCUUAGAAGUAGUGAAAAGGAAUUGGAUCUCUCAUACAACUGGUAAUAUCUUUUGGACAAUUCAACAGAAAAUAAAAAAUACUAGCAAGGCUUGUGGUGAGUGGUCUAGAAGCAAUAUUAGUAAUAUUUUUGAGAAAGAACAACAACUUGGGGAUCAGAUAGCACAGUAUGAGGAGCAGUAUAUGAAUUCUCUAAAUCAGUAGGACAGAAUGAAACUUCACAAAGCUAAAGCAGAAUUCAUCGUUCACCAUACACAUAGAUAUUUAUUGGAGGCAGAAGUAUAAUAUCAAGUGGCAACUAGAAGGAGAUGAGAAUACUAAGUUCUUCCAUUCAAUGGAAAGAGGUAGAAGAAGCAUGCUUAACAUUAAUAGAAUUCAGAAGGAUGGAGUAUGGAUCCAAGGUGAGAAAGAUAUUGGGAUAGCUGCAACUGAAUUUUACUAGAACCUGUUUACUCAAGUGAACAUUGGUAUUGAUAGAACCAUCCUGGACCACAUCCCCACUUCUGUAUCUCAAGAAGAUAAUGAGAUUUUGAUGGUCAUCCUACUCUUAAUGAGGUCAGGGAGGCUACUUUUGAUAUUAACCCCAAUAGCUCUCAUGGCCCAGAUGGUUUUAGCAGUCUAUUUUUCAAAAAAGGUUGGGAGAUUAUUAGUGAAGAUAUUCCUAAUAUGGUGAUAGUUGUUUUCAAUGGAAAACAAAUGCCAAAAUUCUUUACAAAUACUCUUCUUGUACUUAUUCCUAAAGUUGAUUUUCCUCAAGAAUUCUAUGAAUUUAGACCAAUUAGUCUGAGUAAUGUAACUCAGAAGAUUGUGUCUAAAGUUAUGAAUAAUAGACUUUCUGAAAUCAUUCCUAAUCUUAUUUCCCAAAAUCAAAGUGGUUUAUAAAAGGAAGGGCUAUUGGUGAAAAUGUUUUACUGGCUCAAGAACUUAUUCAUGGCAUUAAGAAUAAUAAUAAAGGAGCUAGUUUUACUUUCAAAGUUGACAUGAAUAAGGUUUAUGAUAGGAUGUCUUGGCAAUUUAUCUAUUGUUAUGAGAAAAAUGGGUUUUACAAAGACCUAGAUUCAUAUAUGGAGUCUGUUGGCCAAUAUGUGGUACUCUGUGAUGAUCAAUGGUAAAAGGCAUAAUUUCUUUAAAUCACAAAGAGGGGUCAAACAAGGAGAUCUCAUUUCCCCUUCUCUCCUUAUAAUUGCCUCUGAAGCUCUUUCUACCGUGUUAAACAGUUUAUUUGAUAAGCAUGAGUUCAUUUGGUUCAGUAUGAAACCUAAUGUCCCAAGGAUUAAUCAUAUCAUAUGCUGACAAUCUUAUAAUUUUAUGUGCAAGAAAAUCUUUGAAACUGAGCUGUGGAAUUAAAUCCAUUCAAGACAUAUCAGACAGCUUAGGAACUAAGCUGUGGUGGCAGUAUAGAACUAAGAAGAGUCUUUUGGCUGAUUUUCUGAACGCUAAAUAUGCCAGCAAAAUCCAUCCUGUAGCUAGAAAGUGGAACUAUACUCAGUCGCACUAUUGGAGGAGGCUUAUGAAAAACAAAGAUAAAAUUGAUCACUUGAUUAUGUGAAAAAUCAAUAAAGGAAAUACAAGUUUCUGGUGGGACGAUUGGUCUAGUAAAGGAGGAUUAGCACAAUAUGAAAAUGCCUCUACUUCUGUCAAAGGUCAGGUGUCUGACUAUAUCAUCAAUGGUCGCUCGAAUACAUUUAAGCUUAAUCAUGUUCUCCCUAAUAAGAAGAAUCCCUUUAAAAUCCCCUUUUUUCUCUGGAGGCUGCUUAAAUAUAGAGUAGUUGUUGAUGAAACUAUGGGAAAAUUUGGUAUUCACUUACCCUCUAAAUGUUCCUGUUACACUAUUCAUCACCAAGAAGAUGAGGAACAUUUGUUUCUUAACUGUAUGAUUAUCCAUAGGGUAUGGAAAUAGUUUAACCAGGCCUUUGGGAUUCGUCAACAACAUUACUGUCUGAGGCAAUUGAUUAUUACUUGGUGGAUGACCAAAGGGAAAAAUGAUGUUCAGAAGAUGGCUCUACAAAUCCUCCCUGGUAUUAAUAUUUGGAAUAUUUGAAAGGCUAGAUGCAAGAGCAGGUUUGACAAUGUAGGUAUACAGUCUCACAGAAUUAUUACCCAAAUUUGUGAUCAACUUAUCAUUAUAUCUUACAAACAAUUUCCAAAGAUUCCACCUCUCUUAAAUUGGAAGACUUUUCAAGAGAUCAUAGAAAUGGCUAGAGAUCACGUUACUUCUGUUGCUGUCAAAUGGAACUUUCCUCAAACUGGAUUCAUAAAACUCAACUCUGAUGGGUGCUCCAAAGGUAAUCCAGGUCUUAGUGCAGGAGGUGGUAUUAUCAGAAAUGAUAGAGGACAUCUAGUGAAAGCUUAUGCUAUUCCUUUUGGAAACAUGACCAAUAAUAAAGCUGAAGCUAGGGCCCUCAAAUUUGGAAUUCAAUGGUGUAAUAUGGCUGGCAUAAAUAAUCUAGAAAUUGAGUGUGACUCUAAGCUACUUACUUAUUGGAUUUCCAAGAGCAGUGAUCUUCCUUGGAAUAUUAUCAAACACAUACAAUGAUUUUUUUCACAUAUAGAGAGUUGGUCUAUCACACACUGCUAUAGAUAAUGAAACAAAGUGGCAGAUAUUUUGGCUAAUUAUGGUCUUGAAUUCUCUGAAGCUACUUUCUUUUUUGAGUCUCAAAAUAUGCCUUGGGAGGCUAGAGGAGAGCUACACAUGGAUAGAAUUCAAUACCCUUCAUUCAGGAGGAAGACUCACAAAAGCUCCUUUUGGAUAGAUAAAAACUUGUAUAGGAUCUAUAAUUUUGAUGUCCCUUAAUGGGUGUGCAUAUUGUGUAGAAGAAGUUCUCUGUAAACCUAGAGCUUACUUGAAAUCCUACUUGACGUAUAGAAUGGAGCUUGUUCCAUUCUUAAUAGGUGCAGAGAGCUUAUAUAACGCUUCUGUUAUAUAUUUACUACAAUUAUUAAUAAAAUGCUUCCACUCUCUAUGAGGGAGUUGGACAGAUUGACACAGCCAAAAAAAAAAAAAAAGGAAUCCCGAAACCACAUGCCAAAGACAUAACAAUCAGAAAAUAAAAGUUUAAUUUAUGACGAGAUAUAUAGUUUUUUUUACCUACCUAUAGUUAGUGGCAGAAUCAUCAUAUAUUUAUGCUAGACUGAUUCGGAUAUCACCGUUAUAUAUAUAUCUGGUCAGUUAUAAUUAUGAUUCAAUCCUUUUGGGUUAACACCAAAUUAAAACACCUUCUUACGCGUCGUUUGUGGGGAAACAAGUUAUUUCAUGAUUAAUUAUUUUGAGAUUAGUUAUUUCAUUCUCUUAUGGAUAUAAAAAAAAUAUUAUAAUUCCGGGAUUAGUUAUAUCACGAUUUUAUCUCAACUAAAUAUGAAAUAAACUCAUCUCAAUUUAAUCUCGAGAUUAAUUAUCUCUUAUCCCUCGUAUCAAACGAGCCCUUAGUUUGUCCGAAAUAUAAAUUUAACACAAAAUUGAUUAAAAUCAAACCAUCGACAACAAUUUCUCAGGUCAAUUUGAUUAAUUCUUUUUGUUCGAUGUGAUAUUUGGUUGGUCUAGAAUAGCCCCCUACUUAUUUAUACCAUCUAACGUGCCAUUUGCCAACAAAAUCACAGUAUCACGCCACCCUCCCUCAUUUCAUUUAUUAUUUUUCAGAAAGACAAUUUCGGUUAUGAUACUCCGCGAUUAAAACAGGCUUGUAAUUAGGGGUGUCAAUGGUUUGGUUCGGUGUUCGGUUCGGCCGGUUAUUUUAUAAAAUUUGUAUUAUACUAAUUUUUCGGUUAUUCUAUUAUAUAUAACAAAAAUUAGACUUUUCGAAACCGUCCCAAUCAUGUGGGUUUCUCUUCGGUAUCGGUACGGUUCGGUAAUAUUCGGUAAUUUUUUAAAUAUCUUGUAAAAAUCACUAGUAGAAGUAAAAUGUAACAACAUACGUACUUUUAUAAGAUUUAGCAAAACUCUCUAGACAUUUUUACAGUUUAAAAGAUGAUAAAUUAAGAAAAUAUAAAAGAAGACUAGAGUAUAGAUCCAUCAACUAUUCUACAUCAGUGUAAAAGAAACUAAGAAUAUACAAAAAAAAUAUAAAUCACACGAGCGGAAAGAUAAUAACCAAGCUGGGUCUCAAGACUAAAGUCUAUAGAAGAUCAAAUAUUCAAAAAGAUAAAUCUAAAUCAUACGAAAGGACACAUAUUCAAUACAUUUUAGUUUGUUACUCAUAAUCGCUACAAUACCUUGUGUUUUGCUAGUGAAUAUGCCGGAAAUAAUUUAGUUUCAAUAGGAGUAGCAUAAUAGGUUUGGGAAUUUAGAUUUUAAGUUUAAUUACUUGUUGGCUUGUAACUAUUUCAUAAUUCCAAGCCCUAGAAAAAAUUUAAUGCUAUAUUAUUUUUAAACAUAAUAUAUAAGUAUAUUUUUUACAUUGUAAAUUUAUUCGGUAAGGUUCGGUAUUUAUUCGGUAAGGUUCGGUAUUUUUUCGGUUUAUUUUCAUAAAAUAAAAAAUCAAUCCUAAUUAUCGAUUCGAUUAUAGAUUUAUAUAAAAACCUACGGUUUUAUUAGAAGAAACCUAAAAAUCGGUUCGAUACGAUACGGUUCGGUAGGUUUAAUCGAUUUUUAAAUAUCUAUUGACACCCAUACUUGUAAUAGUGGAUCUUAUUUCUGUUAAUUUUAAUAAGUAAUAACAUUUUUUUCUCUGACAAGUAAUAACGACAUGUCGUUUUAUUAGCAAAAGAAAAGACAAAAUCAGACUAGUGCUUGGUUCCUGUUUGGCCUUACUUUAUGCGAGAGUUAGCCUUAGCCACGGAGUUUCUUAAAACUGCGGGCGCCGAAUCUUCUCGAAAUCUCUCCGUUUUCCUAGAAGACAACCCCCAACCCACCUAAAGCACGUGUAUAUAUUGCAUACGCAUAUAAUGUAUAUUAUAUUAUUCCCUCCGUCUCAUAUUAUUUAUUAUGAUGCUCUUGUACACCCGCUUGAAAAAUUAAUUAGGAUGAGAUUUUGAUCACUUUAUUAUUAUUCAUGUAUUAAUAUUUAAUUUUUUUUCAUUGGUAUUUGAAUAAAAUUAGGUGUUUCUAGUCUUCAAGAAUAAUUAUUAUUAAGGAUAAAAAAGAAAAAAGAUAAUUAAUUUUGUCUUGAACUUUUAAAGUGAUAAAUAAUUUAAGACAACUAUUUUUAGUAACCACGACUGUUAAUAUGAGACAGAGGGAGUAUAUUUCAGCUGUGUUAUUUUAGAUGAAUUAACUUAAAUAGUAAUCCACCUAAUCGUUAAACUAAAAAUCGCUAACGGAUAUGUAAUACAUGUAUAAUUCAUAUGUAAUAUAUGUAUAAUUAUAUAUAAUCAAUAUAUAAUCUAUGUAUAUUACUAAAAAAAAAGCAUUACAUCCGGCUGGCUAUUUUUGUGAAAAUGUCUUUAUUUUAUCCCAUCUUGUUGAAUUGGUAACAGAGUAUUACAAAAAAAAUACUUUUAAAACUUAUAAUUUGAUAGUAUAUCUUAUAAGAUUAGUGUCGCUAUGAUAAUUUAUUAUUAAAAGAACUUUUUUGAGAAUUUAUUAUAAAUAUAAAAAUAUUACUCCUUCCGUCUCAAAGUAAUUGUCAUUUUGUUUACACGAUUUUUAAUAAAAUAUUGAAUAUAAAAGAUUGUUGUCUAUUUUAUCAUUUUUUACGUCUUAAAAUAUAAUCUCAUUUCAUUUAAUACUUACACAUUAUUCAAAUAUUUAUAGUUUUCAAGAACAAUUAAUAUUAAGUAUAGAAUAGAAAAAAAUUAAUUAAUUUAUUAUUAAACUUCUAAAAUAAUAAGAUCCAAAUAUUAUUUUUUUUAUACAGAUUAGGAAAGAAAUAGGACCACUGUUAUAUGCACAGAGCAGGAUGUAUAUGCUUCUAUAUAUACACAACACACACACAAGCUAUAUAACUUCUCGUACUCUCAUCCCCCAAAAAAUAUCACCAAAACAUCGUAUACACCAAAACCCUUGUCUCUCUCUCUCUCUCUCUUCUCGGUCCUGCAAAAACUCCUCAAGAAAAAAGAACUAUUUCCCAUUUUUUAUUUCAAUUUUUAAGGAGAGAAAUUGCAGUGAGAAGAAGCUGAAAAAUAAAUACUAAAAAAAGAGAAGAUGUGUUUGUUCUCAUGUGUAUGUGAAGAAGAUGAGAAAGAGAUUGGAAGAAAAGUAGCACCAGGAGCAUGUCCUUGUUGUGGAGGAAAAGUACAAGCUGUAGAUGUAGAAGGACGCUUCAGAUUUUGCUUUCUCCCUAUUUGCUUUAGGUUCAAGAGGAAGUAUCUUUGUACUCUCUGUUCUAAGCGUUUGGUUUUGUAUUCUUGAUUAAUUUCAUCUCCUAUUUUCCUCUUGUAAUUUGUGCUCUCAAUUUUUUGAAAAUGAUCAUAUAAGUGUAAUUUUUUAAUUUAUCUGAAAGAGGGUUUGAGACUUUCUCAUUUGUUAAAGAAUAUAUGAAACUUGUUCAGUUGUGCCCAGUUAUGAGAAUUUAUAAAAAUGGGCUGAAAACACUUCGAGGUUUGCAAAUUCUGUUUAUAUAUUAAAAAAAUGCAUUUUAAGUUAUAUGUAUCGUCAGGAAUGUUUACACUAUCAAAUAAUUUUUAUUUGUUGUAACUUAGUUUUAUUUUUAGGUUAUAAAUUUUGCAUUUUAAAAAAGCUUAACUAUAUGUAUUAUAUGUAUUUGAGACUGUAACAGUGUAAAAAAUUAUUUACAUUGACUGCUUAUAACUCUAUUUCACCUCAGCUUAUUGAAUUUUGUAUAUACGAAAUACCUGUAAUUGGAGAAACAAUAUAUGUGGCAGAUUUGAGUAGCCACGUACUUGUCCAUUUCAUUGCCCAAAUCUUGGCCAGACUAGUUGGCCUAAUUAACCCCUCCACAUAAAUGUGUGAAUGUCACGUGUCCUGCUUGUGGACCAAAACAUACUACAAAUACCUUUAGGCCUUUGGCCAAAUUAAGGAAGCUUCCUAACAACGUGGUCUGUUUCCCUUGUGUUGUCUAUAUUGAACUCUGUAAUUCGAUAAAGCUCCUGGCUUUGCAGGAUUUGGUACUUUAGAGAUCGUCUGAUGCAGAUUCAGGACUUAAAACUAUGGUUUAAUCUUAAAUCUUUUGCAUUAAAGUUAUUUUAUGGUAAAAAUUAUGGGUCACAUUUAUUGUUUAUUGUAACUUUAGUGAAUUUUUAUACAUAUUUAUAUACUUCACGUCAAAAGUAUUGUAUUCAGAUGAAUCUAGUAUUGUAUUCAGAUGAAUCUAGCAUCACAAGGCUGGGUCUUAGUUGGAGUACUUCACCGUGGUGGAGGACGACUUGUUCUUAAUUUUCUAGUUGAAUUGUGCAGCUCCAUCCUUUGAAUUUUUAAGUUAUAUAAACUGACAAUUUAUACAACUAUUAGUAUACUUUAACUGCUUAUAACAAUAUCAUAUUAGGAUUGAUUGGUUCAGGCACUUACUUGUUAUCGCAAGUCAAUGACACUGUUGAGUCCAUAAGGUUCAAUUUCUUGAUCUCUCUUUUGGCACUUUUCUUGGAACAAAAUUGAAUGAACUGAAACGAGAUGACAGAGACUCGAACAUCUAAAGUGAGUGCUAUUUAUUCUUCUUUUUUUAUUGCACUUUUUCUCCCUUUGUUUCUUUAUUUAUGUUAAUUAGGAGCAAUAAAAUUGUUUUCUUGUGAUUAUAGGUCAUGGUUCCAAGCCAUGGAAGCAAUUAUUAAUACUUGCAUUAAGAUAGACUAUAUACAUCAUACCCUUUAGGCUGCGGUCCUUCCUGAAGGACGUGGAUGCCUUGUGUACUAUAAGAUCUAACCAGAAAGUUAUGGCACCACCUACAUACUAUACACAUGAUGGAUGCGAUAGAGUCAUUUGUAACUUUCUAAUGCUUUUGGACAAGAUAAAAUUGUUGAGAUAUUAAUGUUUUUCUUUUUCUUAAAGAAAAUUUCAGUUGAUAACGAUCCCCAUACCUACUAAGGGCCAACUUUACAAAUUAUGAGAAAAAUCGAGGCACUUCCCAGCCCGUUUAACUUUUCAAAUGGUUCUCGGGCCUUCGCUUAAUAGUAUUUUGACUUUUCAUCGAAAGAAAACAUAAAAGUUGUCCCCCAGAAAAAAGUGUUCUUACUUAAUAGUAAUAAUACAAUUAAAGUAUUAUUCGUCACGUGAGUUCUUUGUAAAAGCUUAUGAGCAUAAAGAGAAAAAGAAGUUGUAUGCUUCUUCUCAUUUAAUUACUUAAAUUAAUGUGAAAGGUACAAGGUUAAGUUUUGUUACAACUAUCACAAGAGGUUCUAAACGAAUUAGUCGUAAAACUCACAGUAUUGACUUCGAAAUUCGACGUGUCAUAAAUAAUGAAGUAACUACGGGAAGCAGCAGAGACAUUUUUUUAAAUUCCAUUCUAUGUUUAAUUUAUGUGAAAGAGUAGCCAAUAUCAGUUUACUUCUUCUAGAAAAACCUCCCUUUCAUUUUCAAAUAAUUUUCAAGAUUCCCAUUUCAAAACAAAGACAAAUAUACCACGUUGGAUAAUUAAUUAGUAAAACUAGUCAAAUGCACGAGAACUAUAUUAAGAACGUUAUUGCUUAUCAAAUUUAGAAACAUAAAGGAAACGAGGGCAAAACAUUUUAAUUA